CAAGAUGCUCCAGUAACUGGUAAAAAGAAUUUAUAAUAGGACUCUAAAUCCAGACUUGACCAAACGAAAAGAAAAUCUCCAUAUCUUCCCUAUAUCCUUACAGAACAUCAUUUCAAAUAUAUUGAUUUCUCUCAUUCUCCAACAUUUCUACACCACCCAGAUACAGAAUUGGCAAAUAAAAACCACCCAUAAAACAAUUUCCAUUUUCAUGGAGCAAAAAAACAUGAACCAAAAUGAAAAAUCCACAAUAAACAUCACUAGGAAAACCGCAAAAUUCAAUGGCACUUGCAGGGAUGGCAUACCACAAGAUAGUCUUGUCUGACAUGUUUACCAUGAGGGGGUCUGCAAAGCACCUUUCUUGGCGUUGUUGAGAGUGAAGACGGCGAGUUAUUAGAGAAGAGUGGGUUUUGGUGAUGGGUUUUCACGAAAGUGAAAGAAACAGGUGGUGGGGCUUGGAGUGAUAAGAGCACCGGAGAGUGGCUGUGGGUUUUGAAGCUGAAGCUAUGGCUAUGGAUACGGGGGGAUGUCUGUGCCUGGAGGAGAGCCAUCUUGUUUCAGUUCAGAGCCAAAGAGUGAGCUACUGUGUCUCUCUGUUGGGAUUUAAGACUGCGGGGUUUUGUUAAAUGAGAUUUACGACUUUAUCCAUUACAUUUCUUCUCUGUAAAAGAUAAUUGGAAUGAAAAUAGGAGAUAUAACACAAUUAUUAUUUGAAUGUACAGAUAAUAAAAUAGUCUUUAAAUGUUCCACGUGAUAAAAAGGUCAUUAUUAAAACAUGUUACAUGAUAAAAUGGUUACCUCGUAACAUCUUAAAUGAUAAAAAUGUCUAUUUUCACACUUUUAUAUUACCAUUCUACCAUUCUCUCUAAUCUCUUUCAUCUGUUUACAAUCGAUUCUCAGUCUCCUCUCUCUCUCUNNNNNNNNNNNNNNNNNNNNNNNNNNNNNNNNNNNNNNNNNNNNNNNNNNNNNNNNNNNNNNNNNNNNNNNNNNNNNNNNNNNNNNNNNNNNNNNNNNNNNNNNNNNNNNNNNNNNNNNNNNNNNNNNNNNNNNNNNNNNNNNNNNNNNNNNNNNNNNNNNNNNNNNNNNNNNNNNNNNNNNNNNNNNNNNNNNNNNNNNNNNNNNNNNNNNNNNNNNNNNNNNNNNNNNNNNNNNNNNNNNNNNNNNNNNNNNNNNNNNNNNNNNNNNNNNNNNNNNNNNNNNNNNNNNNNNNNNNNNNNNNNNNNNNNNNNNNNNNNNNNNNNNNNNNNNNNNNNNNNNNNNNNNNNNNNNNNNNNNNNNNNNNNNNNNNNNNNNNNNNNNNNNNNNNNNNNNNNNNNNNNNNNNNNNNNNNNNNNNNNNNNNNNNNNNNNNNNNNNNNNNNNNNNNNNNNNNNNNNNNNNNNNNNNNNNNNNNNNNNNNNNNNNNNNNNNNNNNNNNNNNNNNNNNNNNNNNNNNNNNNNNNNNNNNNNNNNNNNNNNNNNNNNNNNNNNNNNNNNNNNNNNNNNNNNNNNNNNNNNNNNNNNNNNNNNNNNNNNNNNNNNNNNNNNNNNNNNNNNNNNNNNNNNNNNNNNNNNNNNNNNNNNNNNNNNNNNNNNNNNNNNNNNNNNNNNNNNNNNNNNNNNNNNNNNNNNNNNNNNNNNNNNNNNNNNNNNNNNNNNNNNNNNNNNNNNNNNNNNNNNNNNNNNNNNNNNNNNNNNNNNNNNNNUGUCUUUUGCUAAAACAAGUCCACAUGUUAGGUCGUACUCUUUUUUGGUUGUAACAAUAAAGAUUUAAUGUUGGUUUCAUACUUUUUUCUUCAUCGUUGUUAACAGAGCUCGGUCAAGUAGUCAGAAAUUAGACUUGUCGCCAAUGUGUUGUGGUUUUUCUCCCUCCCACAAUGAUAACUGUGAUGUUUAGUUUCAUAUUAUAAAUCUCAACCAGUGUCAUUGUUUACCAAUUGUUAAAAGAGGCUCAAAUUCUCUGCUCCAUACUCCUUAUGAGAAAGUGUUAUUUGCUUGGUGAGCUGAUUCUCUGAGUUAUGGCAUAAGCUUGGAGCCUUGGACUGGUACCUCAUUGAAAGGCUGAAAGCCUUUUUUUACCUUUUCAUGAUGACCUAUUAUGCUGGUUCUGAGUUUAAAUGCUAUCUUAAAAAUUGAUAGAAACCCAGUAAUGUUAUUUGCAUUCAGUCGGGAACAGUUGAAUAAUCCGAGAGCGUAUAACUAUCCAUUUAUGUAACUAUGCAUGUAACCAUCUAUGUAACUAUCCAUGUAACUAUGCAUGUAACUAUCUGACACGACCCACCCCGAAUUUCACCCUGAAACCCGGAGUAAGUCGUGCGGGGACCAUCUUCAAGGAAAAUUUACUGAAAAGAUUGAUAAAAUCUCCCUUGAAAAUGGACAACCCUAACUCGAAAAUUCCAAAUUACACUCUUAAAACAACAUGUCCAAACAUCACAUAAUUAACCUUCAGAAAUUCUAAACAUAAAAUACAAUAAUCCCAAAAUAUUCAGAGCUACUAGACACUAACGGAAGCAAGAAAACACGAGUAGGUUAAACAUGUAACCUACUGAUGAAAACUGGCGGAAAUGCGGGUGACUAUGCCUCGCCUCCUACUAGAUCCAACCCGAACUCUGCAGACUGGGCAAUUUAAAACGAAGGGCCUAGGGAAAACAUUUAAAAACGUUAGAGUGAGUGGACAAAAAUAAAAUAAUAAAUAAAAUAUUUAUGUUUCCCCAAAUUAAUUUCUAAGGAAAAAUCGAAUGCAUGCCGCAAGCGAUAAAACUUUUAUCUCAUAAAAUAUCGAGCCUCUCAGACUCUAUAAUAUAUGUAUGUAUUUACACUCGUCCAUACUCCCUAUAUAAAUUCAUGGGUCUAUAUAGGGCUACUACGCUCGCGUCCAACGCUCACGUCACGCCUUAAUGCGGUGCUACACUACGCCAUUAAGGUAGACAGACGGGUGUAUAAAUAUGUGUCCAUACCCCCUAUAUGAAUUAAACACUCGUUUAGGGUUACUACGCUCACGUCCAACGCUCACGUCACACCAUAAUGCGGCUAUAUGCUAUGCCAUUAAGGUGGACAGACACAUAUGGCUAGCUAGCAUUUUAUAUACAUAAUCUUUCAUAAAUACAUAUUUAUAUCCACCGAAAAUCCCAUUUUCGGUAACUCUCCAAGAGAAAUAAAAUUCGUCAAAUUAAAAUGAUGUCAAAAUAUUCCGCAACAAUUAUUGUUCAACCAUGAACUCUAGCAUGCAUUUUAUUUAAAACAAAAGUUCACUCACUAAUUAGGCCUAAGCCUGAUGUCGAUCUGGGGCCUCGUCUGCUCGAGCCUCCUCACGUCCUGUUCCAAAUAUAAUAUUAAUUUCCCAACUAACAAUCCAAUAUUUAAUCAAAAUAGGCAAAAUUACCCGAGAGCCAUAAAUACGCUCAUCAUUGCCUAGCUUCGAUAUUCUUAAAUCAGAACGAUCCGAACUUAAAUAUCAUCCUCGACAGUCGUAAAUACAACCUCCCCAAAAAUACGACUUAAAUCCUACGGCCGGAUUCUACAUUAAUUAACCGCAAAAAAUACCAAACUUCGGAAAUUCACAAACCUAUCCAAAUCUCAUCCAAAAAUUCCAUAAAUCACAUCAAUAUAAUCCCCUUAAUAUUCCACAUUUAAAACCCUAAAAAUCUCCCAAACCGCGGCGGUACCGGCGGCGGCCGGAGGCCAUUUCCGGCGACCUCCAAAACCUAUGAAAUUUUGACAGCAGCUUCCUCUCAUCAUGCUCUACAACUUUCCUAACUAGCACAAACCCAAAAUCCAAGCCUAGCUAUGCCAAUCGAACAGAAACAUCAAAAACGCUAUAGAAUUUCAACUUCACAUUUCUCCUUACCUAGCUUAAGAGAGGGUGAGCUGUUUGGAGGGGUUGCUGCACGGGAGGAGGGCUACAAAACGAGCCAAGGAUCGCCGGUUUUGGUGGCCGGAGGAGGGAGUUCCGGCGAGAAGACAAACGGCGUCCAAGGAGGAUUUCCUCCGAUCGGCGGGGCUGCAGCCCCGCUCACCAGCCCAGGAAGGCGGCGGGGAGGACGACAGACCGUGCUGGAGUGGUGCGGCGUCCCUGCUUGGCCGGACGACAGCGGCGAGAGGAGGUUUCCGGCGGAAGAAGAGAGAGAGCUCGGGAGUGGAAACCGGGAGGGAGAGAGANNNNNNNNNNNNNNNNNNNNNNNNNNNNNNNNNNNNNNNNNNNNNNNNNNNNNNNNNNNNNNNNNNNNNNNNNNNNNNNNNNNNNNNNNNNNNNNNNNNNNNNNNNNNNNNNNNNNNNNNNNNNNNNNNNNNNNNNNNNNNNNNNNNNNNNNNNNNNNNNNNNNNNNNNNNNNNNNNNNNNNNNNNNNNNNNNNNNNNNNNNNNNNNNNNNNNNNNNNNNNNNNNNNNNNNNNNNNNNNNNNNNNNNNNNNNNNNNNNNNNNNNNNNNNNNNNNNNNNNNNNNNNNNNNNNNNNNNNNNNNNNNNNNNNNNNNAUAAAAAAAUUACCUUUUACUAGCUAAAAUUUAUCAUUUUUACCGCCAUCGUAUUUUCUCCCACGAAUAAUCCUCCGCACACAAUCGUCCCCGAAACCCCUCUAGGGACCAAUUAAACUAUUAACUGAAUGACGGAGACGGUAAAAUUCUUAUUAUAAUCAAGCUAGUAAAUAAGGUAAAAAUAUAAGGGUCGGGAUGUGACACUAUCCAUCUAUGUAACUAUCCAUGUAACUAUCUAUCUAUGUAACUAUCCACGUAACUAUCCAUCUAUAUAACUAUCCAUGUAACUAUCUAUCUAUGUAACUAUCCAUGUAACUAUGCAUGGUAACUAUCUAUCUAUGUAACUAUGCAUGUAACUAUCUAUGUAACUAUCCAUGUAAUUAUCCAUCUAUGUAACUAUGCAUGUAACUAUCCAUGUAAUUAUCCAUCUAUGUAACUAUCCAUGUAACUAUGCAUGUAACUAUCCAUCUAUGUAACUAUGCACGUAACUAUCUAUCUAUGUAACUAUCCGUGUAAUUAUCCAUCUAUGUAACUAUCCAUGUAACCAUCUAUGUAACUAUCCAUGUAACCAUCUAUGUAACUAUCCAUGUAACUAUGUAUGUAACUAUGCAUGUAAUCCAUGUAACUAUUCAUCUAUGUAACUAUCCAUGUAACUAUGCAUGUAACUAUUUUAUGUAACUAUGCAUGUAACUAUGCAUGUAACUAUCUAUGUAAUUAUCCAACUAUGUAACUAUCCAUGUAACUAUUUCAUGUAACUAUGCAUGUAACUAUUUCAUGUAACUAUCCAUCUAUGUAACUAUCAAUAUAACUACAGAUUGAUAGUUACCUGGGUAGUUACAUACAUGUUACACUUGUGUACCUGCUUAUGUAACUAUUCAUGUAACUAUCCUUGUAACUAUUCAUGUAACUAUCCAUGUAACUAUUCAUGUAACUAUUCAUCUAUGUAACUAUCUAUCCAUGUAACUAUUCUUGUAACUAUUCAUGUAACUAUCCAUGUAACUAUUCAUCUAUGUAACUAUCCAUGUAACUAUCCUUGUAACUAUCCUUGUAACUAUCCAUGUAACUAUUCAUCUAUGUAACUAUUCAUGUAACUAUCUAUGACAUGUUUGGUGUACCUAAAUUUAUCAGGACACCCAACACUCCAGCUCACUUCACCACAAUAACAGUAAUAAUACAACUUUGUUCAACUAUUAGAGCAACUCAGUUUCUCUAGCUCUAAGUUUUAUAAUCAAUCAACCAAACAAUUCAAUUAACCAAAGAGCAUGAAAACAUUUGUCCAGACAUGCCUUAUUCACUUAACGAACCAAAAAGAGCAAAACUUGAUCAACACUACUCUCAACCAGUUCCCUUUGGAUACUAUAUGCUCACUUAUAGAUCUUUACCUUAUUUGCAACCAAAUGAAGGUCACCACUUUUCUAUUAUAUCAUUUACGAAUGAUGAACAGAUACCAGCACAAUUUAAAAGUUUCCAAAGGACCAACUAACCUUGUUAUCAGGUAGAGUUCAAAGCAUUAUUCAAAUCCCCUAGUAGAAAACUCCAUUGACGUGAACCCAGCUAUUGGAAUCAUCCUCCAAAUAUCCUUCAUCUCCACAACUUCACUGAAUUUAUGAUUUUGACCAAACUCAUCCACAACUUCACGGAGCCUUUGGUGGUGCUGCCCAUUCCAAACUCAUCCAAAUUGGUCUUGCCGACCACAAUCCCACCCAGCUCCUUAAUCUUCCUCACAGCAGUAGCAUCAUACGGCGGCGUGUACCUUUCCCAAACUCUCGACCCUGCCGUGGACGGCAUCUCCGCCGUGCAUACGUUGUCCUUCACGGCCACGAGCACCCCGGCCAGGGGGCCCACCUCCUUAUUCCGGCGAAGCUUCUCGUCGAGGUCGCGGGCCUGGGCGAGGACGGUGGUGUCGGAGACGUGGAUGAAGGAGCGUGGCCCAUAGAUCGGAGAAGAUGUAGUGCCACUGAUGUAGAGAGAGAGAGAGAGAGUGUUUGUUUUGUCAGUGGUAUAGAUGGUUAAUUUUUUUUAUUUUCAUGGAUAACGGUUUAAGGGAUUUAAAUAAGUGUACUAUUUUAUCAUCAAUGAAUAUUUAUUAACAGUUUUAUCAUUUGUUACUUCUAAAAAGUAUAUUUUUAUCUUUAGCCCAAUAAAAUCAAAAAAUAAAGAAUAAAAAAAAUAAAAUAAAAACAUUCAACAAUUUUAAUUAAAGAAAUUUAUUUUUAAACCGUGUCAUCGUCAGCAAAAUCAUUGUGGAAGAUGAUCCUAAAGUCGGGUGAAUGAUAUAUCAAGGCAUCAAGCAACUGCAAGAUCAGUUCUAGAUCAUGGUAAUUCUUUUCCUUCCAUUCGGUUUCACUGCCUCUUCCUUAUUGUGUCCCUAUCGUUCCCCAUUUAGGGAGAUGUAGCAAGAGGUUUUGCUUUGUAGUUGUUUUGUGGGUUCCCUUGUUUUGUUUUAGUCAAAAUCAGCAAAAUACCUCUUAAAACUUGGCUUAAAUGGCCAAUUUGUACCCACAAGUUGCAAUUGCGUCAAUUUACCUCCAAAACUUGAUAAAAACUGUCAAUUUGCACCCCCUCCAUCAAAUUUAAUGUUCCAUCCAAUUUUGAGUCACAUGUCAUAUGACAGGUAAUACUGUCAUUUAACAUAUAGUCAUAUAUAUACAGUCAUUUUCAAAUAAGGACCUCCUUAUCUUAGUUAAGGUACGGAUUUUUUUAAUUUGACCUAAUUUCCGAUCAGCCGUUCAGUAUUUAGAUAUAUAUGACUUGAUCAUCUCUGCAAAUUUUCAGCUAAUUUAGUUAUCUUUAAGGUAUCGAAAAUGUAUUAAAUCAAUGAACGAACAUAAUUUGUUCAUCCUGAACCGUACGUUCUUUUAACACUAAAUCACAGUUUUGAAUGCCUUAACGAUUAUCAAUUUGACUGAAAAUUUGUAAAAAUGAUCUACUCAUAUAUACCUAGAUACUGAACGGUUAAGAUGAGAAAAUGUGAUCGAAAAGUAGGUCUAUUAAGGAAAUCCGUACCUUAACUAAGAUAAGGAUAUCCUUAUUUGAAAAUGAUUACAUAUACAUAUAUAUACACACACACAAUCUUAUUUAUUCAAAAGGUACGGAUUUUUCCAAUAGAACCACUUUUAGGUCAUAUUUUUCGAUCAUAGCCAACUAAUAUCUAGAUAUAUAUGACAUGAUCAUCUUUGCAAAAUUUCAACUAAAUUGGUGAUUGUUAAGGUGUCGAAACUAUAUGAUUACAAUGUGCGAACCAAAUCUGUUCAACUGGAACCGUUCGUGUAAUUCAAAGUUUUGAAUACCUUAAUUAUUAUGAAUAUGACUGAAAUUUUGUAGAGAUGAUUUACUCAUAUAUACCUAAAAGAUGAACAAUUGAGAUGAAAAAAUAUGAUCGAAAAGUAGAUCAAUUAAGAAAAUUCGUACAUUUUGAAUAAAUAAGGAGGUUUGUAAGGAAAUUCGUUAAAGUUGCAAAGUUUUCAUUUAUUUUUAUUAUUUAAAAGAUAAAUAUAUAUAUAUAUAUAUGUAUAUAUAUAUCAGGCCUUUCUAGAUAUUACCUUUAUUACCUUUUUUUCUUUUAAAAGGGUAUCAUUUUGGGACUAAUGUUGUAACUAUUUUUUUUUACAACUUUAACGACUUAUAUUACAACUUUGAAGACUCAUUUUAUAACUUGAGGACAAAGUUAAUGCAUCACAUGUGUCAACACACCCUAGCCUUACCCAAAUUAAAAACCCUUAUUUAAAAUGGAAAAUUUCAUUAUGUACAAAAUUGUCGGAAAUAAAUUGUACAAAAUUUCAUCAUGUCUUUCAUUAUUACUACCUAAUUGCAUCUAUAACUAUUGAUUACAAUUUAAAACCCUUAUUUAAAAUGGAAAAUUCUACAAUGUGUUAGCAUGUGAAUGUUGUGAUGCAUCAUCAACUUUGUAAAUUGAGUCCUCAAACUAGUAAUAUUAGUCCUCGGAGUUGUAAAAUUUUCUAGUUACAACAUUAGUCAUCAUGUGUCGUUAAAGUAGUAAAAUUUGUGCUUCAAGUGGUAACUGUGUCCUCAAACUGAUUAAAAAGAAGUUGUUACAAUUUUGAACACUCAUAUUACUACUUUGAGUCUUUGAGUACUAUAUUACCACUUUAAGGAUAAAUGAAGACUAAUGUCGUAACUAAUUUUUUUUUUACAACUUUAAGAACUCAUAUUACAAUUUUGAGGACUAACAUUAUUAUUUUGAGGACUCAUUUUACAACUUGAGGACAAAGUUGAUGCAUUGCAUGCAUUAACACACCCUAGCAUUACUCAUUUAAAAUUUAAUAAAUUGUAAAUGCCACGUGGCAGCGAAUUCAUAUUUCUAACGGGUGGAAACUGCUGUCUUUUCUAAGUGACCCAGAGUGACCCAACGGGUGAACUUGCUCUGAAAGGUGUUUUGCCACCCUCACUUAUCACUUAGUAUCUACUAGAAACAUUGUUAAAAUAGAAAAUAUCUUUCUAUAGGGAUCGUCUAGAAAGUGGAUUGUUCUGAAUAGAUUCAGACAUAAAAGCUGACAUAGACGUUAUGGGUCGGUAUUUUUUUUUUUAUUUCGUUCAUGUCUAAAUAUGGGAAUUUAUCCAUCUUCCAUAAAGGAGCUGAACGAAACCAAAGUUUCACGUUCAGGGCAGACUUGCUCAAGAUUAGAACCGUCUUGGGGGGUGCCGAUCAGAUUCCAUGUCUACAUGUCUACAUUGGAAUGUCUGAUUUCAUUUAUUUACGAGUAUUGAAAUUUGCACUUCCCAAUAUACAAUCCACACUCCUUCUAUCCUCUUUUAGUAACUUAAUUAUUGCCUUUGCCUAAGCAUGGCAUUUGAACUUAAUUUUUUGUCAUUACUUACAAGUGUUUUAUUCUCUUAUAAAAAAUUUUGCCCUAGAAAGAAAAUGUAGAUUGUAAAACGAGGAGUGCAAAUUUCUUUCCCCUUAUUUAAUUUUGAGUGUUUGUAGUUGUACAUUAAUUCAGUCUCUAUGCGACUUGGUCUACUUUUUAAAGGGAGUUAAGUAGUGAGAUGAGCGUUCUUUUCUGUAAGCUUAAUAAUUGAGCUAAACCUGUUUGCAGUGAGGGUAUUCAUUAGAUAGUUUGAUUUGCUUACUACCAAAGAGAUUUGGUGUAAGCCAAUAAUUGAGGUAAGUGUCUUUUAUCAUAGAUAAAUAUUAUCUGUUUCUUUCAACAAAAAAAAAAGAAAAAAAAAAAGAGCUAACUAGUAAAGCUCCUUACCGUUACUUUGUAUUAUGUUUUUGACAUUUUGGUCUUAUGAUUUUUGGGCAUCCGGUCUCCUUUAUGAGAUUAUAGUCAUUAUACUCCCUCAAAAUUCAAGAUCAAACUCGUCUCCUUUCAUCUUAAGGCUUAUUGUCAUUCUGCCAAGAAGUCGGAUACUUCGACACAAAAGAAUUCUUUCAGAAUUCAUCAUGGUUUUUUACACCAUAGAUAAUUGUUUUUUAUACCGUAUCAAUAAUCAAUUUUCUUGGUAGGUCAAAACACUGAUUGCCUGCUCAAAGAGAGAACAUGUACAUUAGAAUGAGGUAGAUGUGUUAUUAUACCUACAAUAACUACUUAUAUCUUACAUGUUAAUUAGUCCACUCUUCCUCACCUUAUCAUCCAAAGGUUCUCUCCUUUCUUCUUCUUAGUGUUACAUAUAUACUACAUUUAAAUCUAUACAUAUAUAGAGAGAUAUUGCAUACUCAGAAGCAUGAUCAUUUGUUCCUUAACUUCUUCCAAUUCUUAAUGAAGAAUCAACGCCUUUGCCGGCACCAGCAGCAAAGAUCCUUGCAAUCUCCAACUGUGUAUUGGCAAUAAUUUCUGUUCGCUUCAGAUCCAUCUCUCCUCUCUUUGCCUCUGCUUCAACUCUCAUCCUCUCUAUCUCUCUCAUUGUGUCCAUUCUUGAUUGCUCAGAUCUUACCACAACCUCAGCUAACCAUCUUAUACUCUCGGCUAUCUCUAAUUCCUCCCUUCUUCUUCGUGUCUUCUUCUCGAUUUUCCUCUUCAUUCUCUUGGACCUUAACUUCUCCUUAUCACUAUAAAGGGCUGGUGUGCUACUGUCUAUCUCCAAUGGGUUCUUGUCCGAUGCAUGGUCUGAUAAUUUCAUCCCCGCUUCUUCUUCCUGCAUAUUAAUGAUUCAGUGUUACAUUUCUGUCACUCAUAAAAUCCAUCAUAUGCAUUGAUCGUUUCUCAAGUGCCAGCAGUCUUGGGUGCAUAGUACUAGGAAUUAAGUGCAGUUAAACUCAAUAGUCUGUAGACUUGCACCAACAAAUCAAAUGUGGAAUAAUCAGCUAGCCUACGUGUUUGUUUUGCAGGCUGCAAAACUGUGUUCACAUCAAUAUUCAAAUCACCAGGUGCUUUGAUUGUGCAUCCUUUGGUAAAGUCAAAAAUGUCAAAAAUCUUAGUCAAGGGGCCUCUUCUUAGUUUCUAAUACAGAAGAUGGGUAAAAGUUAUUAUUGAUUUAUAUCAGGACAUGGGUUCCUGCGCACUUAGUUUCUCUGUCGUUUGAGCACAUGAUCCAUACAUCAUACUUAUCUAUAUGCCAAGGGAUGUAGGGUUUACAAUAAAACUAGGAUGAGAAGGAUGAACAAUUGGACACCCAAUUGCUUAAAACAGACUUUGUGGACUAAAAGCCAACGAUCCCCAGAUUAUAAUGCCUGAUAUCUGGGCACGUUUGAAUCUUUAUUCUUCUUGGUUUGAUGGGCAAAGUUCCAAUGAAAACUCAAAAUAAAAAAUAAAUAAAACAGGUUGCUGCGUCAUGUAGACACUGACCUUGGCAUCCCUAUCAACACCAUCAGACCCGAAUGAAUUCUGUGCAGUUCCUAAAUGCGGAGGAGGUGGCGGUGGAAGCGCCGGUUGAGUCGGCGGUGACACCGGCACUGAUGGCUCCAAUAGCAUCAGGGCGUGGUUGCUCUGAUGAGUCACUAGCGGUGGUUGAUGCGGAGGCGCUGGUGGAGCUACAGCUGCUACAACAGUUGCUGCUGCUGCUGUGGGUGGAGGUGGUCCGCUGCCACGCAGCAAAAGAUCAAGUCGUGGAUAAAGAGGCCAAGAUGAGCCAUCAGCGGUGGCCGACUCAGAGCGGUAGCGUUUCUUCAUGGACUCGAUCUUGUUCUUGCACUGCGUCUGAGUCUUGGGCGACUUGGAGCAGCCCCCACGCGACGAGACAUGUCGGGCAACAUCUUCCCAGUCAUGGCCUUUGAGUUUGGCUCUGUUUCUGAGGACCCAUUUGGCCUCAUAAGCCUCCAGAAGACUAGACACAGCUCCUUCACUCCACUCAUCUCUCUUCAGCCUGUCACUACCAAUCAAAGGCUUUGAUCUUGGAGACUCCAAAUUGUUAGAGAGGAGAGAUGGGGUUUGAUCCUGGUUACCCUCUUUCUCCAUCCCUCUCUCUCUCACUCUUGCUCAGUUUUUACCCUUGAAUUUUGGGUAAGCUGCUAACAUGUUCACCCACCAAAACAAGUUUAAGCACAACCCACUAGCAUUUUAGAGAGAAGAAAAGGAAGAGCUAGCUAGUGUGAGAGAGAGAGAGAGAGAUGGAGAUGAGAAAGGGAGCACUACCCACUAGCAUUUUAGGCAUAGUGAAAGAGAGGAAAGGCAAAAUGAUAGUGGGCAACCAUGGAAAUGGAGGUGGCUUUUUGUCAAAUGAGUAAAUGAUGUGAACCUGUGAACUUUGUUUUCCCUUUUUUCACUUUUGGAGAGGGAGGUGGAGCUAUGUGAUGGUGAGGAUGUUGGUUUUAUUGUUGUGGUUGGAUUGUUUUGGCUGUUAGCGUUGAUAUGAAGCCAAGUGAUACAUCCACUUGGGGAUAUCAGAGUGGUGGUGGUGGUGAUGGUGGUGGGUCGGUCUGUCACGUGGGUCUGCCACCCACUCCAUCCAUCCCAAUUUUCUCAUUUCACCAUCUCUAUUCUCUCCUUCACCACUACCAUCCAAUAUGCUACGGCCAUUCAAAUACUUGAGCUGCCCUUUUUCGGGUCCUCCACCUUUCUGGCUUUCCUUUACGCACUUUUGAUGGAUUCAUCACCACUUGAGCUAUAGUGUAGUGUUGGUGCGGGAGAGAGAGCAAUCAGCAAUGGUUUGUAAGUUGUAAUGUAACGCGGUUUCAUUUCAGUUGGCACAUAUUAUUAUUCUGCUUGGAAUUGUUGGUGUGGGUGGGUGGCUUGAGGCCAAUUGCCACUCAAUGGCAUGAAACUUUAGGAUUACCGAGGGUUGGGCGUGGGACGGGAUGAGAUGAGAUUUAGUUAAUCCUGCGGCUCAUCCUGUACAUUGCACUCGGGAUGGAAUCGGGACAGACUUUACGUUUUUGAAAUUCUAUCCCGGUCAAGUUCCGUCCCGGACAGAAUCGGGAUGGGACAGGACGGGACAGGCCCAAUCCCAUUGUCCCAACCGAAUCCCAGAUGGAGAAAAUCCAAAUAGUUGAGAUAUAACACUUCACUCAUAAUCAACUGUUAUAUGAGAAAAUAAUGAAAAUAAACGUGAGUAAAUAUGCAUUCAUCAGGUCUUCAAACUCUCAAAAUAAACAAUCAUCUUUGGAUUCUUUGUUUACUAAGUUGUUUACAAAUUUUACAAAUUGGAUCAAAUAGAAAAGUGAACAGAUUAUUCUAAAAAAAAAGUGAACAGAUUGAAGAUCAAAGCUAAUAACAACCGAACUUUAUACCAUAGAUGGUUUGUAACAUGAAAAGUCCAGGAUGAAAUUCUAACCAAGCAGACACAUAGCCUUCAAUCAUCAUUUGAAGCAACAGAAACUUAUGUUGGUUAAUCGAUGUUAGCCUACGUCGAGGACACAAUAAGUUACUUCAUUUUAUUAAGUUCACUACAGAUAUCAUGCUAGAUCUAUACAAACAAACUCAAUAUUCAAAAUUUAAGAACAUUUUAAAUCCCAGAAACCCAAUUACCAAUAGAAAUCCCAUAAACCCAAUUACCAAUACCUCAACCAAGAAUUGACAUACCAUCCAGGCAUCCAACACAAUUAUCCUUCAAAAUUUGUUCAACACAAAAAUCAAAACUUUCGUAGCUAAAACAAUGGAUAGCACUAAAACACGGCUUCAUGAAAAGCACACAAAACUAGUAAAAUUUGCAGAAACAGCUUAAACUCUAGCAUGUCCUGAAUCAAAACGUCAAAACCUUUUGGGUGAAGACUAGAAGAAGAGCGACUGAGGUUUUGAGAUUUCAAGUUUACAUCUUCAAUUUAAGGUUUUGCUGGAUUGAGGUUGAGAGCGAUUUGCAAUUUGGGUUUCGUGUUUUGGGACGAGAGUCUGAGAGACUAGUCAGACUACUGCGAAUGAGAUGGGUUAGUAUUAAUGUUAAAAAAAUUAACGGUUAGGAUGAAAGAAACCAACGGAUGAGAUUACUUCUUAUUUAUAUAUGGGACGGGAUGGGACGGGCCUUACAGACCUCAAAUAUUCAGUCCCACGGCCCGUCCCGGCUUUUCUUUAACGGGACGGGAUGAGACGGACCCAAUAUUUUUAUAUUUUGAUCCCGUCCUAUCUCAUUAAAUUUCGAGACGUGACCUAGACGGGAUCGGGAUUAUAGUUUUUUAUGCCCAGCCCUAAGAUUGCGGGGUGGGUUCUUAAACAGAUUGUUGUAUAAGAAGGUAUAGAGACAUUAUGGGUUGCCUGCGCAUUUUCCCAUUUUCGGUAUUUACAUGAGGGGCAACAGUGCAGGAAAGUAUAAACAACUUAAAAAAAAAAAAAAUCCUAUUUUUUGCAAGGUCGGGUGCAAAAUUUUCUACCUCCAAGAGUUUUUAUAUAUUUUGUCAUUGUCAAUAUAACUUAUUAACUUUAUCUCAAAUUUUAGGCUACGAAUUAAAAUUAUAAUAUAUUCAGUGACUAAACUAAACGGUUAAAAUCGAUCAAAAGUUUAGAAAGUUGAUGAUUGGCUCAAAUUCUCUGUCAUGUGUUUGGUUAUGUUCAAUUCGUACCAAAAUAUUCAAAGACCAUUAUUUGAAGCUCACCGUCACAGUGUUCACGUACUCUCUAGUCUUCACCACUUUCUUCGAUCUUUACAACUCUCGUCUUGAUAAUGCUUUGAGGUUUGAGAGCUUGCCAUUGUUCACUUUGAUUCCUGUUUGAGCCCAGCGGGGAUUUUGGUCCAAGACUCGUAAUAAGUUUUGGAUAGCAUUUGGGCCAGUGCCUGUGAUCAUUUUUUAAAAAUGAAGCCCAUGUAGGGUGGCGAGCUCUGGAGGCACGCGAGGUAGAAUUUGACAAGGACUGUGUUACCUCGCGAGGUCCUCGUUUCAGUUCGCGUAGGAGUCUACAGUGCUUGGUGGGGAGAGGCAGUAUUAGAAGCCUAAGCGGAGUAUGUUAUGACACGUGUUACGUGGAUAGCGCAGUUCGCGAGCAAGGCGUGUCCCUGUGUUAUUCUAAAUUGUUGAGUUCGAAUGGGUUUGUGAUUGUAUCUCUGUUAGCUAAUCACGGGAUGCUAUAUAAAGGAGCUCGAGGAUUAUUCAAGGGACACAAAAAACUCAUACAAAACUGCAAAAAAAUCUUCGAGCAUUCUUGAAACCCUAAAGUUCUAAGUGCACCUCGCCUUAGUUCUCAGAGCCCGUUCGGACUCGUCCUUUCUUCUUGAUUAUUGCUCUGCUCUGCUCACUCUAACAGUGAGUAUCGAUUCACAGGUGAACAAGGUUUGCUCGUAAUCCCUCGUUCGCUAGGUGGCACCGGAAACCCUUUCGUUUGAUUAGAAGUCCAGCAUAGCGCACUCAUUCCGCACCCGCGCGGUGGCACGCCCCGCAACCUUGUUUUUCUUACUUUUGACAUCACUAGAGUUGCAACUCUACCCCUACUGAGACGCGUGGCCAAAACAUUGGCACGCCCAGUGGGACCGGGAGUAUAACGUUCUUGCCACCAUUGGGAAGUCAGUGGAUCCCCGUACGGGAAACCCUCGAUUUCUUGUCUCAAACACAAGGUACCACGCUACAAGCCCCAUAACAGCGCGGCUUGCCGAUCUCUCACCCGAGAAGAGGUUUUUGCUCAGUUUGGCAACCCAGACUCCAACGAAAUCAUAAUGACAGGUUCACGACCAACCCAAGAUACAAGAUCUACUCUGUCUGUGGAGGAAAUCGGCCAGAUGUUUGGAGAACUGAAGAACGAGCUCAACUGCCUCAACUCGAAAGUCGACACCACCCAGCAGAGCGUCAUAGACCUUGCCGCACAGGUCACAAAGGAUAGGACCCUCUGGGAGGCUAACCACGACAACCUCGCCGUGCUCAGCGAGGAUUUUAGCCACCAUUCAGGCCAAUACACAGAAAACAAGGCCUUGGUCGAAGGGUCCCUCCAACGAAUCCAAAAGGAUUUGAUUGACAACACAGAGGCCCUGAAGCUUACCCGCGCAACAGUGGAUGAGCAAACUCGCCGCUUGGACGAACACGAUGCCAAGUUACAGCGACAACAGGAUGCCUCUUACUUUGGCAGUAAGAAUAGCCAGGAAAGGCUCGAAGACUUCAAAGAACGACAUGAUAGUCUGAGCUUGAGGGUCUUACAAGUAGAAGAUUGGAUGUGAUCUCAAGCACCAAAGAAUCCUGCCCUUGACUUAACUGGUGCAGGUGCAACUGAAGGCUCAUCAAGGUACAUUCCACCUAACGAGCGCCCUAGGGCUAACCCAAGGGUUGGGGCUCAGAAAACCCCUCAAUUCGCGUUGGGGGCUAGUUCUUCAAAGGCACCGCCAACUCCACCUUCUCCGCGCAGCCCCGGAGUCACACUAAGGGGCGCUAGUAGCUCUCCAUAUCAGGGGACCGGGACACCAGAUGACCCAGUUAUAGCUUAUUCCAGUCCAGCCUCUAAGAACAUUGGGCAGGCCCCUAGCCUCUCUGCAUGGCACAACCAUGACUAGGGGGCAGAAUCUACACCAGUAACGACAGCCGACUGGCGCCAACUUAUCUCGAGUAUAGUCAAGGAGCAAACCGGCAAAGGUGAUGCUAACUUGCACUAUCGCGACCCCUACCCAGAUAGUGUGGCGCAGUACCCUUUCCCCCAAGGGUUUAAGAACAUUGUCUUUACAACAUUCUCUGGGGAGACAAGGGAAGAUGCAUCAACGCAUAUGGCCCAUUUCAAGGUCCAAUGCGGUCAAUAUGGGAAUAAUGACAUUCUCAAACUUAAGCUCUUUGGGACUUCUCCAUCCGGAGCUGCUUUCACUUGGUACUUCAGGUUGAAACCAGGGUCAAUAGCAGACUAGCCCACUAUGGAAAGACUUUUCCGAGAGACGUACGACACAAUUGAGCCAGAAGUCGGCCUCGACUCCCUCACACAGAUGAGUCAGCAAAACAUGGAGUCUGGAGUUUCUUUCCUCCAACGCUUCAAGAUCCAGCAAGCCAAGUGCGAUUACCUGCUACCUGAGCAGGAAGCCAUUAAGUUGGCUAUUAGAGGCAUGGAGCACCGUCAGCGGUUGAAGCAUCACGAAGAGUGCUUUACUUCCAUAGGUGACCUGAUUAACAAGGUCGGCAGCUACGAGCUAAUCCUGAACGAGUUGGACGACAAAGCGAAUGCUUCCAAAGGAACCUACAUGCCAGGGAAGAAUCGGACAGUGGGGGCACUAAACUUGCAGGCCCCUACUUAUGAUCCAUAUUAUCAAAGAUUCGAGGAAGCUCAUGCGGAUCAGGACCAAGAGGAUAUUGGCACGGUAGAACUGUCUAGCAAGCCAUUAGCUCAUAAGUUAAAAAACCUGAAGAUAAUGAGUGAGCCAAUCACCAUUCAGUCCUUUGCAUGGACCAAACCAGAGUACGAGUCAUACACCUAUGAUACUAAGAACGCCCAUCUGGUCUUUAAUGACCUGAUCGAGGCGAGAUACGUGCGCUUGGAUCAUAAGAACCCGCCCAAGGAAGAGUUGAAGGAUAAGAAGUACUGUGCCUUCCAUAAUGUUUACAAUCAUGACACCAAAGAUUGUGUCAAGCUCCGAGAUCAGUUGCAGACAUGGCUGAACUCUGGCGAACUAAAGCUGAAGACGCCGGGUAGUACAGCCUCGUUGGUGGAUGUAGACCCUUUUCAGCCUUUAGUUGGCAUGGUCGAGGUAAACUGGGCUGAUCAGGCCGAAGAUGAAGAUCGACGCCGGGCACCUAAAAGGGCCGUGAAGAGGGUGAUAAUAAUGCUCGCUGGCUGCAUCGCCAAUAUACCUACAACGUCAACCUCGCUCACGAGGUUUUAGACGAUCUCAUCGACGACGAACUCGUCACGGUGGCCAGCUCCCUACCUUACAUAGAAUACAAGGAAAGGUGCGUACAUUGCAAGUUCCACAACAGCUGGGGGAACAUAACCCGCUAAUGUCAACAACUUAGGGACCAGGUCCAAGAUUGGCUCGACCUCGGGUACAUUCGUUUUGAAAACAAGGGAGACAUCGCUUGGCCUCGAGUCGGCCAGCGGAAAAUAACAUUGGAUUUGUCACCAAACGCAGGUCUACGUGAACCUCCAGGCCGAAACCGUAAACGGCUGGCGAACAAUUAUACCGUUCUAACUAACCAAAAGGGGAACACAGACGACCCUGCUCGCCAGUUGGUCGCUAAACUCGAGCCCGAUCUCCCUUCCCUCAAAGAUAAGGGCAAAGCAAUUAUGAGGGAUGAUAAACCGUCCCCCACUGAGAACUACCAACCCAUGAGUCCCAGGACCCGUGAGGAGUUGGAGCAGAGGAUAGAACGCCUCGAGAUGUUUGUCUAUUCUCACUGGGUGGAAAAGGAACCAUCAUCUUCUGCCACAAGCGAGAUGGAUAUGUCGGACGCUAGCAACGACCACCCAGGAAACACAGCUGCCAGUCCUCGUGGAGGUAUCUUGACCGACCCCUAUAUUCCUCCAAUGUCUAAGUCAGCAAUUAAGGACGGGGUAUGGUACACAUAGCAAGGGGGCAAGGCAGUUACCAUUAGUAAGUCCAAAAAGCGAAAGCUCCAAAAGCAGUAUGGUAGCAUCAUGCGGGCCUUAAGAGCUGUCGACGAGGGCGCUGUACGACCUUCACAACUCGCACAGACACCUGAGCGGAUGUGGAGGGAGGCAAAGGGUUUGCGCGCAUUCCUUCAAAUGCCGCCUGUCACACCCCCAAGGAUUUGCGAGCAUUUCGUAGACGAGCCUGCACCCAAAGCAAACGUCUUCUGCCGACUCGCGGUUCCACCAAAGCAGGACCCAUAACCCUCCAGGCGCAAGCCGUCACCCGAGCCUGAAAGGAGAAGGGAUCCAUAACCUUCCAGACGCAGGCUGACACCCGAGCCUGAAAGGAGGAGGGAUCAUUAACCUUCUAGAUGCAAGCCAUCACCAGAGCCCGAAAGGAAAAGGGACUCACAAGUUCCCAGGCGCAGGCCGUCACCUAAAUAGGAGCCCGAGAGGAGAAGAGAGCCGCAUACUGGUCCCAGACGAAAGUUUUUUAUGACCCCAGAACCAGAGUCAAGGCGCGAAACGCCUCAGCCCUCACGGCGCCAGGAACCUCAAAAUCCGGAACCCGAAACCAAAAGGGAACCACCACAACCACAUCAGCCUCGAGUACAAUCUACACCGGAGAUAGAGACUUGGAUGGUUUCCCGGGUAUCCGCCCUGCAACGGUUGAAAAAGGAGGACAACGACAAGUCCCCUUCGGCCGCGGACAAACAAUCAGCAGGGGACCAGCAGCCUUCAACCAAGGCAGUAUGGCGCCCACGGCAGAUAGAGACUCGCGCGCCACCAGUUGCCGAAAGUGCAUCUUCCAACCCUAACCUUGCUCAGCAGAUGACCCAACGUUUCCCUGAAAAUUCAGCGGACGACGAGGCGCACUCCGAACCUCGGUUUAACCUAGACGAGGACCAAGAAGAAGAGCAGGGGGAAUCAUUCACCUGCAAAAUGGUAGAGGUCUUAGGAUGGGUUGACGACGAAGGGGUUAACCACGGAGCAGACGCCUUCGCGGUGCUCGAGGGGGAGCACGGGGUCAUUAACACUCCGCUGGUCCCAGUCCGCGAACAAUUCUCCUUUGAGGUCGGGAUAGUGUUCUUCAUAUCGGAGAGAUACGCUCUGCCGCCAAACACAACCUAUAGCGCGGACGAUAUUCCAGUCAGCAGCGAGAGCGUCAGUAGCAUACCCCCGCCAGCUCCGGCACCAGUCGACGACUCCCCACAAGUGGAGAUUACGAGCAACAUCAAACAUAAGCAAACUUUGACCUUUUCAACACCAACCUUAGACAUGGCCACUCACAUGCGGCCACUGUAUAUCACGGCCGAAGUCGAAGGGAAGAUGAUCAACAAAGUCAUGGUAGAUACAGGCGCUGCAGUCACUAUCGUUACGACCCGCACCAUGGGACUCCUAGACAUCCCGCGCUCGAUGAUCCAGACUACGUCCUUAAUAGUCAAGAACUUCACCGGCCAAGUCUCCAGGACCCUAGGCCUGCUAUUUCUACGAGUUAAGGUCGGACCGGCAUCACGGGUUUACACCUUUUUCGUCGUCGAAUGCUCUUCCUCUUACAGCAUGAUUCUCGGCCGAGAUUGGAUCCACAGAAGUUUUUGCAUGCUUUCCUCCAUGCACCAAGAACUCAUGAAUUGGGACACCAAGAAACGCGAAGCGGUCAUCAUCAAAGCCGACCCGCGGCCAUUUUCCAUUUCCGCCAACUUCAACGACGCCUGAUAUUAUACCACCGACAAGGGCCCGUUGGAUGUUCAAGCCGUCGAUGACAAAGGCCGCCCAUAUAGGGUAACGGCCUCCAAUUUAGCGCGAUGGGGACUUACCCAAGCGAAGGACGAUUUGCAAUGUCCCCACACCAUCGCUGAUUCCACACCCCGUUCUGAUGAAUAGUGCCUUCUCAGAGGAGGCACGCGAGGCUGGCGAGUCCUUGUGCGAAAGACUCCUUUCAUACUGGGCGGAACACGAAGCCUACGACAAGGUCGCGACUAUGGAAUAUGUCGACGAAGUAGUGGAUUAUAUCGAUACCAAGGAGGAAGUCAUUCAGUUAGCUCUCGCUGCCUUGGACGAUACACUACCUCAAGUCCACGACCCCAUUUCACAAGUUGACGUAGGGACUGCAGAAAAGCCCUUACUUAUUUCCAUUAGUGUUAAGCUGGCGGAGAACGAAAAGGAAGACCUUCUUGCCCUAUUACGCGAGUACAGGGAUUGGUUCGCCGAAAAGUACGAGGAUAUGCCUGGCUUGUCCCCGGAUUUGGUCUGCCACCGGUUGCCAACUUAUCUAGACCGACGUCCAGUACGGCAAGAUGGCCGAUUCAUGCGAACUAAGACUCAGAUCGUAGUCAAGGAAGAGAUCGAAAACAUGCACCGAUCGGGUAUCAUUCACGUGGUAAAGUAUAACGAGUGGCUAUCCAACGUUGUCCCCCUUCGCAAGAAAAAUGGCAAGAUGCGUGUCUGUGUUGAUUACCGCGACCUCAACAACGCAACGCCCAAGGAUAUAUACCCUAUGCCUGUAGCUGACCUCCUCAUUGACGCAGUCGCGAGGCAUGAAGUGCUGUCCUUCAUGGACGGAACAGUCGGAUACCACCAGAUUCCCGUCGCUGAAGAAGAUCGACACAAGACGGCUUUCCGUUGCCCCGGUUUUACCGGCGCGUUCGAGUAUGUUGUCAUGCAUUUCAGACUUAAAAACGCAGGGGCAACAUACCAGUGCGCCAUGAAUCUCAUCUUUCAUGACAUCUUGGGGAAGCUGAUUGAAGUCUAUAUCGAUGACGUGGUAGUUAAAACCAAGACACGCGCAACCCAUGUUGAGGACCUGCGACAGGUGUUUACACGGAUGCGCUUACACAACCUGAAGAUGAACCCCGCCAAGUGUGUAUUCUUCGCAGAAGCCGACGACUUCCUAGGUUUUCUCAUCCAUCAAAGGGGCAUCGAAAUCCCAAAGGACAAGGCGCAGGCGGUAAUAACCACCUCACCCCCCACCACCAAGAAGGAGCUUCAACAGUUGCUUGGGUGAAUUAACUUUCUCCGCCAUUUCAUAUCCAAGGCAGCAGGGAAGGUCCAGCCUUUUUCAUCCCUGCUCAAGCUCUAGGCGACAACCGAGUUCGUCUGGGAACCACAACAUCAACAGGCCUUCGAUUGAAUCAAGGACUACCUUACGAACCCACCAGUAUUGAUUCCACCUCGCGAAGGUACCCCGCUUAAACUCUACAUCGCCGCUGCCGACUUGUCCAUCGGCGGGCUCUUGGCACAAGACGAUGAAAACAGGGUAGAACACGCUGUCUAUUACCUCAGCAGGGUGUUAACUGACUACAAGACACGAUACUCACCUAUGGACAAGUUGUGUCUUGCUCUAUGUUUUGCAGGUUGCAAGCUGCGCCACUACAUGCUUGCCUUUACCACGGUGGUGAUCGCUCAAUCUGACCUGGUCAAAUACAUGCUCUCUCGCCCUAUCUUGCGGGGACGCAUCGGCAAGUGGAUAUUAGCCUUGUCCGAAUUCUCGUUGCAAUAUGUUCCGCAAAAGACAGUAAAAGGACAGGCCAUAGAAGACUUUCUCGCUCAUCACCCCCUUCAGAGCUCACGACGUUUCACGAGUUGGAGUUCGCUGCUGUGGCACUCGCUCCGUGGACCCUAUACUUUGAUUGGUCACGCACCGAUACCGCAGCCGGAGCCGGGAUAACCAUAGAAAAUCCCGUCGAGGAUCGCUUCUCCUACUCGUUCCAGCUUGAUUUCAACUGUACAAACAACCAGGCCGAAUACGAGGCGCUCAUCAUCAGAUUGGAAAUUUUGUUGGACUUAGGAGUCCGCGAAGUACAGGUCUUUGGCGAUUCCCUGUUGGUUGUCAACCAACUAGUGGAGAAUUUCAAGUGCUUAAGCUCGUCCAUUGAACCAUACCUGCGCAAGGCAUUCGACGUGUUGGAUCAAUUCAACGAUGUCUACAUCGAACACAUACCAUGCGAGUUCAACUUUGCCACCAACGAGCUUACCCAAGUAGCGUCCGGCCUUAGCCUGCGCAAUGGAGUGCGCGAACGUUUGCUCAAAGUUGACCGACGUACCCAUCCCUCUUUCAUCGCUAGGGAGCAAUUUCAGGCCAACACCCCCGAGGUCACGAUCUUAGACCCUAUUGACGAGGAUUGGCGGCUACCAUUUAUCGCCUACCUCCAGAAUCCCAAUGACGCCGCUCACUCUAGUCAGAUACGUUUCCUCGCCUUAAACUUUGUUUUAUGCAACGGCGAACUCCGUAGGCGUGGAGAAGACGGAAACGACUUCCGCUGCGUGUAUGGGAAUGACGCUAAGCGUCUCAUACGCGAAGUACAUUGUGGGGUUUGCGGUUUGCACCAGGCAGGACCAAAAAUGCGUUGGUUAAUCCGCAGCCAUGGGUACUACUGGCUGACCAUUUUAAAAGAUUGCAUUGCCUUUGCCAAGGGUUGCCAAGACUUCCAGGCUCACGGACCAGUGCAACACAUCCCCAACAUUUCGUUGCAACCUAUCAUUAAACCUUGGCCGGGUCGCGGAUGGGCGAUAGAUUUUGUUGGCAUUAUUCAUCCACAUUCUUCUGAGCAGCAUAAGUUCAUUAUCGUCGCCACCGACUUCUUUACCAAAUGGGUUGAGGCCGAACCACUCAAGUUGCCUUCGCCAACUCGGUUCGCAACUUCAUUUUCCGUAAUAUCAUUUCCCGCUUUGGUAUUCCGGAGUGCAUCGUUACAGACAGGGGGGCAGCUUUCGUGGCUGAUUCGGUCAUCAAAUACUUAAACGACUAUGACAUCAAGCUCCUCCACUCUACGCCAUAUUAUGCGCAGUCCAACGGCCAGGUUGAGGCCAGUAAUAAGGUCAUACUUGGCAUUCUCCGAAAGAUGCUGGAGUUGAACCCGCGCGUCUGGCAUAAGGAACUUUACCACACCUUGUGGGCUUACUGCACUUCAAAGCGCGGCCCGACGGACACUACCCCGUAUGCUCUUAUGUAUGGUCAUGAUGCCGUCCUUCCCAUCGAGAUCAAUAUUGCUUCGCUCCACGUACAGGAACAAUACCAACUACUUGGCGAAGAUUACGUCCAAGCUAUGUGGCAAGAACUUGAAGAUCAAAAUGAACACCGCGUCACCGCUUUCAACAAUCUCAUCCUCGAGAAAUAGCGCAUCACGUGGUCGUACGAUAAAGUCACCCGAGGUCGGAGCUAUGCCGAGGGCCAAAAAGUGUGGCGCGCUGUACUCCCACUUGGGAAAAAAACCGAGGGUCGGGGCAAGUGGUCUGCUCGAUGGGAAGUACCCUUCAUUAUUCAUCGUAUAUUCCCCAAGGGGGCAUAUCACUUGCGCGACCUAGACGGCACCAUUCAUUGCAAUCCUAUUAAUGGCCGUUUCCUCAAGCGUCACAUUGCUGGAGUUUGGGAACGCGAGAAUCCUCUACCUCCCCAAGAACCCGCAACCACGGUUAAUAGUGCUACACGCCAUCACAUCCUCGCUCGGCCACCUACUACUAGGGGGCCAGGCAACCCAGGAUAGGAGAUUGAAGACUACUUUGUAACGUACCAGCCUAAAAAGGUCAAUGCUAGAUUGGGGCCUAUUCUAGAGACCCUAAAAAAUAAGAUAGCUUUAUUUUUUCACAUGAGUUUAGUUAUCAUUCUCUUCAUUCAUUAUAAACAUGCAAAGUCUAACCAAAGACAACUACAAGAUUGGGGCCUAUUCCAGAAGCCCUAAAAAAUAAAUUCAUUUAUUUUUCCUUUCUAUCGUCUCUGAUACAGAUUUCAUAAGUGGCUUUGCGGCCGAAACAACUACAUUAACAAAACAAACGAAAUCUGACUACACCUAAGCUCAAAAGCAUAGAUCUGGAAAUAUGGUAAACCUCAAACCCGCAUAUCUUGCAGGGUCGAAGAAGAGGUCUCUGCCGCAUGUUUCGGUGAAGACUGACGAACGUCCUGCUUCCUCAGACCAGCACAAGCCUGGAAACCGGCCUGGACCUAAGACAAAUUGUUGAGAAGCUAGAGGUCCACUGGACCUGGGUCCCUCAUGUUACCAGUCACGCCUCGAAGGUGCUUCAAGGGCAUUGGCCAGGGCCUAAAGCGCGAGCGGGUGCGGAGCCUCGAAGACCUCACGUUUGGACAAAAUAGCUGGUGCAAGGCAGAAGGUACCCAGACCAUUUGUUUGUCCAAACAAAGGUUUGGCUUGAGAGAAGAUUUUCAGACUUACUCCCGGCUUGAGAGUAGAUUUUCAGACUUAAAAUGAACGAAGGGUCAAGUUGAGAAAUAGGGGUUUUGCUUUAAAAAAGGACAAUAGGAUGAGCAGAAGGGAAGAAGAAUCCAUGGCAAAGGGGCAAAAGACUUGGUUGAUGCUUCAACCCGGCCAAGAGGUUCUCUUUUAUAGGCAAGGGAGGCCGAUUUUUUCCUUUGACAAAUGUCCUGCAUGCAGCGAUGAGCUCCGGGAUAUGAGGCUUGGAGAUAAGGUCGGACGCGUUGUUCUAUGAUGACUGUUCGCGUUCCAAGCAAACAGUUACAUCAGAAAUCUCCACCAAAUCUCGGAAGAAGAUUUUUUCCUGAAAAAGCUGUUUUUAACAAGACUCGACAAGAGCGGGAAAGAAUUGAUUACAGUAAAUAGUAUAAUAUUAUUAUUGAUUAUAAAAGUUCAUACAGAAGGGGCAAAAUAAUAACUGGGUCUAAACCCGCCUAGAGGCCCUAUACAAAUCUAGGAGAAGGGUUUGUAAGGCCAACUCCUCAACAUCCGCUUAGGCCUGGGCUUCGUCCGCAGCAGCAGUGGCCGAGUCCAAAGCUUCAUGGGUCUCUUCCGCGACCUGCACGCGGGCUUCUACAUCUUCAGCUUGUGCAAGGUUCUAGCAAACUUGAGCAAGUUGAGUUUGCAGCUCCACUAUCUGAGUCUCCAAGGCCUCCACUUGCCGGGUAUAGAAAAUGCAUGGGUUCUCUGAAGAUGUCUCAGGAACAUUAACGUCUUCAAGCUUGGCCAAGAGGACUAACAUCUGUUGGUCUAAGGCAUGGCGAACUCUCUCCUGAGCAGCCGACUGAGCACCAACAUCCUGAACUCGGCGGGCCUGCAGCUCGACAACAUCAAUAAGCUCCGGGGCAUGAUCCAAGGCAAGUGUGUUCCUGGCUAAGUGGCGAGCCAGGGCUCCGUGAGCUUCACGUGCGCGCUGCACCAAGUCGAAAACAUUCAUAUGUGGGCCUUGGUGCAUCAGCCCAUGAAGGAAGCCCAGGGCUGAGCGAAUGGGUUCUGGAUCGGCAGGGGGGGUGACCCGGGCCCGGAGACGAGCGGUCUGGGUGGCCAAAGAAGAAGCCAACUCGACAGAUGGCCCCGCCUGGGCCGGAGUGGUUGGCUUAAUUUCUGCAGCUGAUUCAAUCUUUGAAACAGGCGGCGAGACGUCGGGUCCCAUUGGAACUGCUUGUUCAUUAGCUACGCGGGCUACCAGGUCCGGCUGCGGUGGGGGAGGCACGAUUAUCUCCUCUGGCGGGGCCACCUGUGAAGCAGUAAGGUCGAGAGGUGGAGCCAUUUGGCUUGAUUCUCCAUCCCGAACUGGAGCAGACACCAAAAGGAGGUUAGCAUCAUCCGGCGCGUUGUUUGGCGAAAGAGGCCGUGCUUUAAUUUCCUCGAGGACAGUAGUCUGUUCCUCAGCCACGGCCAUGAUGGGUUCCGGAAUAUGGACUUCCACCGUGCCAGUAUCUCCUUCGACAUUGUCAAGUCGGGGACGGACAUGGCGAUUCCGGACCUGUUGGGCAAAAUUAGUAAGCCUUUGCUAACUUAAGGAAAACAAUUCUAAGGAAAAGAUCGCUUACCAGGCCAUACUCUUCUUGGAAGCGUUGGUCUUCCAGUUCCUCUUCUUCAUCCUCGGCGGGGCGCUUCCGUGAGCUUUUGCCGCUUGUCGACUGGGUGGUUGGCAGGACAACCUCGUUGUCUGAGUCUGCCGCGGGCCCCUCUUGAGCAGGUGCUUUCCCUUUAUCUCCUGCAGCCUCGAGCCUCCUGGAAGAUCUUCAGCGAGGUGUAGCCUGUAAAAGGAAGAUAAGUGAAUUAAGAGGAAGUACUUAGUUGAGUGCAGUGAAAGCGGUAUGGAAAUCACAUAGUUAGCGGCCUACCUCGGGUGCGGGAUCGCGUUCUCGAAUGACGAUCCCGGUCGAGCGGCGAGCAGCAUGAACUGUCGAAAGCGUAGGCCUAGGCUCUGUCGCAGCCCUCUGAGGACCCUCUGCAUGGUCGCGCUGGGUAUCGAGGAUAGCGCGGUCCGAUUCGCCCAAAGUGUCGUACAGAGAGGAAAAGAUGGCGACGAAGACGACGUCAUCCAGAUACCUCCAAUGGUUGUCUGAAAGAGACCACCACCAGGAGAGAUAGGAUGGUCAACGCCCAGUGAAAGCUCAAUCUCGAGCAAGUCGGGAGUGAGAAGAGAAAUGUUCUGCAGCGGAGUGACUCGAUCUGUCUCGCCAAUCUUGCGCCAGGAUGUGUAUUUGUUCACUGAAUGGAAGAGUGGAUAGGGGACCCCUUGGAAGAAGCCAAGCUGCCUGGCGAAGUGGUUUGGGGCGUACAACUCGAAGCCUUAUUCAUCCUCGGCGAGCUGAAGGUCACAGCACGAGGUUGCCCUCAUGAAAGUUGUCUUAGUAUCCGUGUCCGAGUCGGAACAAAGGAAGAAGCCCGCUGACAAGACCUCAGGAUGGCGCCAGCGAACCAUCAUAUCUAUGGUGGGAGGCGGCUCGAGCUGGUUAUACAGGAUGGAGUGGCUGGCGAAGAAGGACAGAGGAGUCCGGUUCGCAGAGUUCCUACACACAGCAAACCCGAGCAGUUGGUCCUCGGAUAGGAAAUCAAGCUUGGUGCGCCGGAAGAGCGGGAAGUACAGCUGCAUCCACAAAUCUAAAACCCACAAUGGGCCAACAGAAAGAUGGAAGGGCCUUAGGGAGACUGUAUGGAGGGUCCGAUAGAGCGCACCCAGCACGGGCUGCCCUAGCCCUACUUCGAUCCCGUUGUAGAAUGCCUUAGCUAGUUUCGUCCAUUUCCCUGUAAACUUGUGAGCGCUACCACAGAACACGAAUUUAUCAAGCCAGUACUCAAGGAAAGCGAUACCUCCUUCGUGUUGUUCUGCAUGGCCGAUGUAGUAAUGCCUUCAUACUGCGUAAUGAGCCUUUCAGGGCACGACGAGCCCCCAGGUUGUAGGAAUGCGUGAACUCGGUCGAUGUAAAGUCGCCCGGCACGUAUGGCUUGGCAUGGAUUGGUAGCCCUGUGAUGGCGAGGAUGUCCAGCAAGGAGACACUCAUUUGCAUGAAGGGCUUCUGAAGGUGUUGGUGGCACUGUUCCACAGGCAGGCUGCGGCAGCGAUAGGUGCUCGGUCAGCGUGAGGGGGCAGUGAGAAACUCAAAGCAAUGGCUUCGCCGAUAGCGGCUGCUUCCCAGAUAGUUUGAUCGGUAUCUGCAUACCACGCUCGGUCCUCCGCGGUGGCGUUGGGCCAUUCUCCGACCCGGAUGUUUAUAUGAGAGCGGGCUUGCUGAAACCAGGAGACGAAAUUUCCCGGUUCACGGCGUUGGGCGAGGAUUGGCCGGCGCACGGAGCCGGCAUAGUGGUUUAGGUCGACGGCUGACAGAGGCUGUGAGGGCGUCGGGCCAAGCAAGGCUGCCCCCGUUUCAAGGAAGUAAAUAGGUGUUCCUUGAGGUAGGUUGUUGGCGAAACGGCGGGCGAGGUUGGUCGACCAGGAGCUCGCCGCCGUGAGGUUAAGGUUUGGGUCUCUAACAGCCGGUUUGGGAACCAUUUUUCUGGGUUGAGUGAGUGCGGCGGUGAGGUUUGUUGGUUGCAAAAGGAAGGAAAAGGAUUGGUUGGAAAGCGAUGGUGAGAUGUGGGGACCCGCGUCGAGGUUUAUAAAGGGGACGAAUUGUAACGUCUUUUCAAUCAGUAGUCGUAUUGAGGAGACGCGAUGAUAACCGAAACGUCAGCGCGUUUCGAAAUUUCAAUCAGUCGUAAUGAUGAAGGGAGGCGAUGACGUCGAAACGUCAGCACCUUUUAAAUUUCGAAUUCCCGUAAUAUACUCAUUAAGGCCUUUUCGCUUAUCCGUUGCGAAAUGGGCUAAGCUCAAGGCCUAGGGGGCAAUGUUUGACCAGCGGGGAUUUUAGUCCAAGACUCGUAAUAAGUUUUGGAUAGCAUUUGGGCCAGUGCCUGUGGCCUUUUUUAAAAAAUGAUGCCCAUGUAGGGUGGCGAGCACUAGAGGCGCGCGAGGUAGGAUUUGACAAGGACUGUGUUACCUCGCGAGGUCCUCGUUUCAGUUCGCGUAGGAGUCUACAGUGCUUGGUGGGGCGAGACAGUAUUAGAAGCCUAAGCGGAGUCUGUUAUGACACGUGUUACGUGGAUAGCGCAGUUCGCGAGUAAGGCGUGUCCCUCCGUUAUUCUAAAUUGUUGAGUCCGAAUGGGUUUGUGAUUGUAUCUCUAUUAGCUAAUCGCGGGAUGCUAUAUAAAAGAGCUCGAGGAUUAUUCAAGGGACACAAAAAAAUCAUACAAAAUUGCAAACAAAUCUUCGAGCAUCCUCGAAACCCUAAAGUUCUAAGUGCACCUCGCCUUAGUUCUCAGAGCCCAUUCGGACUCGCCCUUUCUUCUUGAUUAUUGCUCUGCUUGCUCUAACAGUAAGUAUCGAUUCACAGGUGAACAGAGGUUUGCUCGUAAUCCCUCGUCCGCGAGGUGGCACCGAAAACCCAUUCGCUUGAUUAGAAGUCCAGCACAGCACACUCAUUCCGCACCCGCGCGGUGGCACGCCCCGCAACCUUGUUUUUUACUUUUGUCGUCACCGGAGUUACAACUCUACUCCUGCUAAGACGCGUGGCCAAAACAAUUCCUUUAUGGCUACCUUGUAAUUUAUCAUUUGUCUUUAUUUUAGGGUCACGAACAAAAUCAAUGUAUGUUGACCUAAUUUUCGUUGAUUUCUUUGUGAGAUAUGUUUCUCAUUGUAGAAAAGAAACCACACAGUUACAAAGAGAGUAUGAGAACCUACAAAUCCAAAAACGCCAUGGCCAUUGGCAUGACACCCUCCGAAAUUGUGAAAAGCUAACAAAGCACUAAUUUGAAAGAAGUUGCAGUCCAAGAUCUCUACCUCCCGAGAUCAGGCUAAGUGGGGAAACUGUUACACUAGGAGUUGUUCGAACCUCAGAGAUUGUGGUUGGCAGCCACAUGCUCCAACCUGCGGAGCUAUUCCAGUUUUCGAUUUCUAGAAUUUUACAAUUUUCCAAUGUACUACGUAUAUCCUACAAGACAAAACAAAAUACCAGUUUUUUAUUUUCAGUUUCCACAUGGGGUGUAAUACUUCUCAAUACUAUACAGACUUUUUCUAUUUAUUUUUCUCUUUUCAUUUUCAUACAUAAACGUAACAUAACCUUUGUCUCCAAGUAAUACUUGCUCUCACUAUGGUAUUGUUGUGUCUGAGAAAUCUGUUAUGUGACUUGGGUGUCAAACUCAAAAGUACUAUGCAGCUGUACUGUGACAACAAGGCAGAAAUUGAUAUAUCACAGUAUCCAGUACAACAUGAUCGUACUAUGCCUGUGGAGGUUGAUCGACACUUUAUAAUAGAAAAGUUAGAUGCCAAAAUUCUUAGCUUUCCUUUUGUUUCUAAGAAGGAGCAGCUUGCAGAUAUUCUAUGACACACUAGGCAAGUUUGGCAUGGUUGAUGUAUAUGCACCAACUUGAGGCGAAGUGUAGUGUGAGUUAGAAUAGGUAUGUAAAUAUAUAGUAGUUAUAUUAUAGAUUUAUUUCUGUUAUAUCAUAGUUAGUAUUUACCAUUUGUAUUCCGUGUAAUCUCCUACAUAUACCUAGGGUUGGGCAUAAAGCUCGAAACAAAAAUAAAAACCGGCAAAACCGACCCAAAUCGGCCAGACCGGGCUUUUUUAUGGUACUAGUUCUAUUUUUUUUUGCUAGUCUGGUCUGGUCGAUCUGAUCCCAAUAACAGGCGGUCUGGUCUUGGUCCGAGAAAUAUAGAAAACAAUACAGCCCGACGUGCACAUUGUAAUACAACUAUUGGAUAAUUGUAGUGAUCAUACACUACUAAUAUAGGCUCAGCCACAUAUAAUCAAAAUCCUAAAGACUAAAUACCUAAUUCUAAAGAUUCGACCUCAUUCACGUAGAAUCUGGACUGCGCAUAUGUGCCUCUGCCUCUCUACAUCGUCGUCGUCGCCUCCACCUCUCUACGCGUCGUCAUCUCUGCCUCUCUACGUCGUCACCUCUGCCUCUCUAUGCCAUCGCCUCUGCCUCACCAUCUUUUGCGUCCAACCACAAUCACAAAGUCGCCCACAAUCACCAUCCUCACCAAGUAUGAUUUUUGAUCUUUCAUUCCCUCUCCGCGUUAGUUUUCCAAAACCCAUCUCUGCUUCGUGUAGUGUUUGUGAUCUUCUAUUUCUAAUGGUGCUUCAUGUUUUGUUAGUGUUUGAAAAAAUCUGGUUUGAUUUUGAUUAUCAAAGUCGCGAGGAAGGAGAUGGAGGUAUAUCGCCGUCGGAGAAGCUUUCGGUUUCUUUUUGGAGAGCCAAAUCGACUGGUUCACAUCGAGUCGCGCUUCAUUGAGAUAGUGACCCUUUCAGUUUGUUUUUGGAGAUCCACAUCGACUUACUUCACAUUGAAUCGCGCUUCAUCAAGAGCCAGACGCGAUGAACAAGAAAAGCCUGAAAAACCGGAAAGACCGGUGGGGUUUAUGCCGGUCCAGGCUUUUACCGGUCCCGAAAAUUUUAACGGCGGAGACCAGCCCGUCUGCACACCAGCCGGUCCGAGCUCGAAUUUCAAUAUCUGUGUGCCGGUCUAGGACCGUGCCCGGCCCUAUAUAUACCUCCGCAAUGAGAUGAAUAACAUGUUAGACAAUUCAUUCUCCCAAAUCUUGUUAUAUUUGAGCGUAAGACGACAAUUUUUAACCCCGUAUCAAUCAUCUCUCUCUUUUCUUUUCUUUUUUCUUUUUUGAUAAAAAUAAAAUUACAAAACAGAACCCCUAACUACAUCCUCUUGCGGCUGAUUCAAAUAGAACACUAUGCACACAACACAUCAAUAAUCUCAUGGUAUCAUUGAUAGUUAUAACCUCCACUACAUCAUGAUGGUUUCUAAUAAUCUAAAAACUACAUGACACCUUAUCAAAUAUAGGACAUGAACUAUCUAAAAAAACUCUCUCUAAAAACCCUAGCAGCACAACCCCUCCUCUCCGGCGUUCGUCUCCAUAUCCCAACAGCCGUAAUGGCCUUCCUAGAGGCCCUAGACGAUCCCAUCAGCUCUAGUCGAUCUCAACGACUCCAAGCGUACCCGCAGCGCGACCCAAUAGUGCUCUUCCGAUCUUCUGACGAUACGAUCUAGUGCUACUUUUCAUUGUUAUCAAUGCGACCUGCAUAUCCCAACAUCGACGUCUACCGGUGAAGUCAUCGAUCACAACAUUGCUAUCCCUAAUUGAUUGAAGUUUUCUCGUCAUAUUCCUUCGUCGGUGAUGUCCUAUUGGGGUGGCAGACCUCGUGACGAGGUGAUGCUAAAAAGAGAAAAGAUGGGUCUCUUGGACUUGGUCACUCUGCCUCAUUUGACAACCCUGAGGCUUGUGAGGGGAGAGGCUAGCCCUCAUAAUAAGGGCAUGGAGGUAGGUUAGUUCUUGUUUCCUAACCAAGGCAUUUGAUGGAAAAUUAUCUCGAUUUUAUUUCCUGGUUAUAUGUAGUUGUACACCAAUCGAGAUCUUAAGCAACUAGUACAUCCUUCAUAGAAGAAUUAGAUUGUGGUAGUUGAAAAUUAUUUGUAGUAAGUUCGAUUUGUGCUUAUUUGCAGUGGGGACUACCUAUCUUUUGUAAGGCUUGUUACCCAUGAGCUUAUCGGGACAAGCGACAACUGAUGUAUGAGCCUUUUGGCCGAAAAUAAUCAAUGACACUGUCCAUCUUUAACUCAAAUAAAUAAAAAUGGUUUCUAAUAAUCAGAAUGUCAUAGCUCUUGAAGCUAUUGAAGGAUAACUUAUCCAUUUAACGGGAUGACCAAAAGCUUUCACUAAAACAAAUUGAAAUUAAAAAAGGUGUGUUAGAGGUUGAGUGGAGAAUUACUACCUGCCCGCAUCUGAUGGGAUUCUGCACGAACUUUGCUUCUUAUAGGUUAAGAACAUUUUCAUGGUAUUGCUUCUUAUAGCCUUUCGGUUACUUUCUACCACUAACUUUGUCAUGCAUUUGGUUAUAUAAUAUUCAUCUUUCCUACUUUCCACAUAUAUCCAAUAUAUUUGCUAAAUUGCUAUCAUAUAUCUAUUUUAACUAUUUAUCUUGUCUGUGUCAAUUGGUUACUGAUGGAAUAAAUCUUUCCCAUUCAGUUUUUGGCUAUCUAUGGUAUUAAAGAGUAAAAGUAAAAGUCUCAAAAGCUCUGUAUCACUGUAUGAGUUUCUUUAUGUAAACCUUAAUAGAUCUAGGAUUGACAUCGAGUCUUGGUUUUCCAAUGAGCACCAAUACUAGCAUUGAUACUGUCUUCAAACUCGACAUGAACCCGCCAACCCGGUGGAAACUUUUAGGAGUUGCUACCUGAAGCAUAGACUCAAAUCUAUGACAUGAACUUUUGCCAAAAUUUCUAGCUGAAGAAAAAAUGGGUUUGCUGAAAUGGCUAAUUUGAUGCAGUUAUAAAAUGAACCCCACCUCUCCACCAAUAUCUUCACUUUCUGAUCCUCCAUUAAACCAACUAAUAAGAUUUGGGAGGAGGAAUUUUAAUCAUUCUAUUGGUAAAAAGUGUAAAACCGUACAAGCAUUCGGCCCCGAGUCAAUCCAAAAUCUCAAACAGGGCAAGAAUGAAGAGAGGUGUCGCUUAAAUAGGAAUGAGUUCCCUUUAUUGUUCAAACUUGCCAACUUUAGAACCAGGAUUGGAGCAGAAUGCUUCAACUUAAGGAUCUACAAGGCUUCAAGUUUUUCUGGGUACGUAUGAAUCUCCAACAAUAUAUUGGAAAUCCUACUAUUUAAUCGCCAGUCUAUAAUUAUGCCAUGGCAUGUCAUCUGCGAAACUGAACUUGCCGAAAUCACAACUAUAAACUCCGUAUCGGUCUGCCAUCAAUUACCAAUCCAAUUGACUUCAAAACAGACACAAAAGUACACAUUGUUACUAUCUUCGAAACAGUAAGUUGAGAAGCGAGCAUAGCAUAUAUAGGAUAGUACAAUGGAACUAUACCUAGUUUAUACCCAAAUGUGACAUUUAUUCUCCACACAUUUCUUCCUGGCAUGUAUACCCUAAACACUUGACUACAUUCCAAUGACAGAGAAUAACCUCCAAACUUGCAAAAAAAGACUAGAAAUAAACCUUAAACAAUACUCCACAACUUGACAACCUUAAGACAACCUUAAGGCAGCAAGAAUCAUUCCACUGACCUCUUCAGGAUCAGCAAAAACAGGCACAAGAAGGACCCUUCUAGACCAUAACAUCCAAAAUACCAAGUAAAAAUUCACCACAUGACAAAGACUUCGCAGACAUGCAUUCAUGAAUCCAUAUCCCGGGAAUGUCAUCCUUAAGCAUAUUUUGGCAAGUGCUAAAGAUUGUAAAUAGAAGAGUGAAAACACCAAAUUGGGUGGCAUGUUGAUUUCAUUGUACUAUACGGUCUCUGCCAUUGGAGACUCGGCUGAUAAGCCACUAUAAUGUGAAUACAAGUCACUAUAGGAGUUGAGUGGAGAGGCAUAUUGACUACAAUGCUAUACACAAUAUAUAUAUAUGCACCCCGUAAACAGCAGUUAAUGUUAGUGGUGGUCCAUAAUGCCUUAAUAGAUGGGUUGUGGUGAUAAUGAUACAAUUAUACACCGGCCGGGUAAAAACUCAUUAAGGUCAACAAAGUGGCUUGUGUGGAUGAUGACAACAGUGGAGACUGAAGUGCCCCUUUGCAUGUAUGAACCAUUAUAGAAGAAACGGAGAAAUGAAAAAGGUGACUUGAACGAUUAUAGAAGAAAGAGAAAUCAAAAAGGUGAUUUGGGUGCUGAGGCCGGCUCAAUAAGUGAACUUGGAAGCAAAUUUUGAUUAGUUUUACAAGUGAAAUGCGUACCAAUAACAUAUCCUCAUGCAAUAUGAAAAUAUAUACCAGCCUAGUGCUUGGAGGACUGAUCCUACCACUUAGCUGAAUGAUGAGUGAAGAAGAGACGAAAACAAAAAAAAAAAAAAGGGAAAAAGUUCAUUUCAAUCUGCUAAAUCAUGUUUUCAUAUAUACUAAUUGAGGGCUCAUUUUCCUGAUGAGUAAACCCCCUACAGUUUUGCUUCUUUACAAUAGCAUGGUGAAUGGAAAUUCUUAGACCACAACGGUUAACCAAAAUUGGACUACAAAAAAAAAAAAUUAAAUGACUACACAUUCUACGAUCAAAAUGGUAAACAAACCUGGACUACAUGGUACAUAUAUCCUUGGCAUCUACUUCCAAACAAAAAACAAAAACAAAAAAAAAAAUUUGAGAACACACUUUUAGAAGGUUAGACACUGGUUUCGACCAACGAGCAUAGAAGAUCAGAAUAGAAGUUGGAACAGAUCAUUCUUCACCUCAUGUUAUAUCCGAUAGCACAAGUAUAAGCCAAUUCAAAAGUAUACUCAUACAACAAUUUAAUUACUCGAGUGCAUAUGUAUCCAGAUAACCAAUCUCAGCAAAGGUAACGAAUUUAGAGCACAAGUAUAGUUCUUCUGUAUUAGAGCAUAGUCAAUACACAUUCUCCCACCGACAUUGUAAACUGGAUCGGAUUAUAACAAACCCAUGAUUGGCAUUUGUUCAUAGAAAACCUCUACAAUCCAAUACCAGGACUACCUUGAAUUAGUAUAUGAACCAUUUCCAUGUAACAACAAACUCAAAACGCAGCCAAUAUGUACAUAUUUGACAUAAGUAAACCCAAAUUCAAUUCAAGGAAGAUUGUCUUAGCAAAGAAUCAAACCGUGGAUCUCUGAAUAUACUCGAAAUGCUUCUAUUCCCGCCAUCAAUCACCUUCAACAGCGCCACCCCUUUGCUCUUCCCUUUCGGACCUCCAUUCUCCGCCACGUCAGCAAUCCCAUCCACCACCCCCAAUCCCUCCUCCCUCACCUCCACCACCGCCCUCUCGCCGCCGCACCGAGUCAAAUUGAGCAGCGCCGACACUGCAUUCUCCCUGCUCCUCAAGCUCGACCCGGUCGAGAAAUCCAGAAGGUCGGCCAGAACCCUAACUCCGGCGACCCUCCGAAACGCGUCCGCGCUCUCCUCGCACCCAGCCACCUGCGCAAUCACCGCCGUCGCGUCCUCCACGAUCCCGAGGCGGCCGUCGUUCACCACCAGAGUAAAAAGCGCGGGAACCGCCCCGAGCUCCACCAGCGAGGCCCGAUUCGAGGGGCAGAGAGCGAUUCCGAACAGAGCUUUGAGCGCGUCCUUGACCGACCUCGGAGGCGACUUAGGGCUUUUGACGAUGUCGAUCAGCGAGUAGACAAUGUCGCGCUUGGCGCCGAUGAUUGGCCGGUAGUCCUCCACGACGAGGAGGCUGUGGAGAGUAGCGGCGGAGGACUGGACGGCGGUGGCGGAGGAGGUCGGGGAGCUGUGGUGGCGAAGCGCGUGGGAGAUCGCGUCGAGGAGGCCGCGCGUGGAAAUGAGGCUGUGGCGGCAGGAGAUGGAGAUGUUGAGGAGAGUAGCGGCGGCGUCGUCUUGGAAGUCAGGGGAGGAGCCGAAGAGAGUCUCGGCCAGGUAAGGAAUAGCGCCGGCGUCGGCGACGAGGGGGCGGCUGUCGGCGUCGUGCUUGGUGAUGAGUCGGAGCUCUUUCAGGGCUUCGGAUCGGGUCUGUUCGGAGACGGAGCUGAGCUUGGAGACUAAAGAACGAGCCGUUCGGAGCUUCACAUCCAUUAGUGAGAUCGUGUGUGUCUGAUUGUGCUUGGAUUUGUGGGUAUUUUGGAGUUUUGGGUUUGGGAGAAUUGGUGUGCUUUGAAAUGGGUAAUGUGGAUUUUGGGAUGAGAAGAGUUGAAUUUGGAGCAUUUCACACGACAUUUAAGAAAGAAAGGUCAAGGUGGUUUAGUUUGACAAGGAAGGGGUAGCUGCAAAGUCAGAAAAGACUCGAAGAGUAUCACCAACUUCUAUUUUAAUCCAAAAAAAAAUUGAAGAUGAUGAUCGUUGGUUUUUGUCCAAAAUCCUUCUCGGGAAAUAUGGAAGAAAAGAGGCGAGAUAGAGAAGACGACCGGCAAAUUGAUGGGAAAAAUUGUUGGAUUUCGUCAAAUGUGAACAGUCUUAUUAUGAACCGUUUGAGUAUCUCUUUUUUUUUUUUGUGGGACGAAAGAACCUUCAUUGAAAAGCCAAAAGGCAGAAGCAACAAGCCAUCAGAAACAGGCCCAACAGACAGACCUUCAUAGUCACAAAGCCCAAAGAGAAGGGAGACUAGAUAAGCCCAAACUAGGAAAACACAGCAGAAAAAACUGAAAGAAAAAAACCCAGAAAACGCUCAAAGCUCUAUUCGGAAUCGCUCUAAGUAUCUCUCACCAUAAGAUAAACGGUGCGUAUAUUUUCACCCCACAAAUCAUUUUACUUAUUUUAUAUUUUCUUCACAUCAUAGUUAUAUAUUAUUAAUUUUAAAUAUAAAUUUAAGGUUAAUUUCCACUAGCCCUAAUUUUGAGAAUUUUAUUCUCACAAACAAAAUCAAAUUUAUAAAUUUUCAAGAGUCAACUUAAACAACAAAAAGACAUUUAUACCUUUAAUAAAUUAAAAAAACUACAAUAUACCAUUAUUAUGGUCUAUUAUGAAAUAAAGAUUCUAUGACCGGAUUCCAACGACCGAUGAUUGAACUCCGGCGACUGGGUGUCUAUUUGGGGCAGUAAGGGGUUCGUCAGGGGUCUAUUGUGGACAGUAGGAGGUCAUGUUAGGGGUAUAUUAGAGGUAUGUCGGGAUCUAUUAGGGGUAGUAUGAGGGUCUAUUAGGGGUAGUAGGGGGUCUGUCAGGGGUUAUAUUGAGGGCAGUAUGGGGUCUAUUGAGGACAAUAGGAGGAUCUAUUGUGGGCACUAAAGGGUCUGUCGGAAGGUAUAUUGGGGGCAAUAGGGGGUCUAUUGGGGGGUAAUAUGAGGGUCUUUCGGGCGUCUAUUGAUGACAAUAGGAGGUCUAUUAGGGUUAGUAAGGGGUUUAUUAGGAACAAUAAUAGGGAGUCUAUCGGAGAUAGUAAAGGUCUAUUAGGGAUAGUAAAAGAUCUAUUGCGGGCAGUAAGGGAAGUGGAACAAAUAUUUAUUCCUAAAUCCAUCAGUUAUUCCCUACCUCAAAAGGCUAUUCCAAGAAUGAUACAGGUGAAUUAUCAAAAGAAGCUAUAUAAUUUGAUAACAAAUAAGCCUUUACUUUUAACAGAGGGUAUAUAGAAACCCUACACAUAUACAAUUUUAAAUGUCAAACCCAACAUCAAUUUCCUUCACCUAUACUAAAUAAACACCACCUAUACUAAAUACACACCACGUAUAAUCUGCUCCACCUACAUCCAAAUUGAAAAAAGAUAAAUGCAAACAACAAUCCAAAAAAAAACAAUAGAUGAGAUUGAGCAGAAGCUUGCCACUGGUUGAUCUUGCUUCUUGAGCUAGACUCUUAACUGAUGCAUCAAGUGAACUUCUAUCUUUAACUCUUUGUUGGAAUGUUUUCUUGAUGGAAUGGUUCAUUUUUGUGCCCUUGACUAUGUUAUCCCGUUCCAUAAUUUGAGUGACUUUACUUCAAGUAACCUUACAUAUUUGUUUACUUGAAACUCUGAAUCAAGUACAUACAUUUACUUAUAUAUCACGUUCAACGAUCCUAAUCAACAAGACCUCGUUAUCUUGAUGGAACUCAUGGAAGCUAAUGAGUUAGUCUUGAAUUAAACUGAAUACGUCUUUCUAAACUGGAACCUGUUCUCUUUUAACUUCUGCUCAUCGGAAUAGCCUGUCUAUUUGGUAGUUGGCUGGACUGACUGGAAUGAAAAUUGACUCAUCUAUAGUGAAGUCAAGCACAUAUUCUUGUAAGUACAUACAAUUUCAAAUGCAUUUGUUCUUGUGAUGUUAUUGCUCCAUAAGUUGAGUCCACAUGCUUAUCUAUUGAAGACUGUAGUUUAAGAUAAUAAGAUAUCAAAACCGAUACUAUGGUGUUCUCCCUGUUCUUAAUUAAUAAGAUUGAAGCAAAUAAGAGAAACUGUUAGCAACAGAACCGAGCCAUGAAAUAACAGAACAAUGUGUGAAAGCAUACACAUGGAUACCACUACAACCCUCAACCGAAGACGAUGUAGACCCAUACGACUCAAAAACCCAAUCGAAUACCCUUUGAAAUCGAACACAAAACUCAAUCUAUCUGUGACCUUGUGGUAGAAGUCGGCGGACUUGAUCACUGGGGAAGGAACACCGGAAUGGUCACCGGCAACGAAGAGUAAGGCAACGCCGAUGACGAAAUCAGAGAUCCAGUCGAUGUCAAGCCGGAGGUCGUCAGCGAUGGGAGACAUAGUCGAGGUUGAGCCGGUGUCGUCGGAGAUGAGAGAGAGAGAGAGAGAGAGAGAGAGAGAGAGGAGGAGAAGAGAGAGAGAGAGAGGGGAGAGAAAUCUGAAGAAGACGGAGAGGGGAGUUUUGAGAUUGGAAAAUGAGGGUAUUAUGGUUGGAAAAUGUACCUAGCAAAUUGCUAAGUAGACCCAACAUUCAGUUUAUAUUAAUUAUUUUCCAAGAUUACCCUCGUAUAUCAGCACACCCAGCACUCUAACUGCGCGCCCAGCACCCAUCACUCUUCUCAUAGAACACAAACUCAAAAGUCAAACCCAAGUUCACAACUCAUUUGCUUCUGAUGCUCCAAGCUUGUGUGGCUUGCAAAGCUAAUCAAAGGGGUCCCAAGCCAUAUGUUCAGUGCCUUCAUCAACAUUUUACCAAGUUUACAUCUCAAAUUGUGAAAGAGAGCAUGAAUAAAAAAUGUCAGCAAUAAAUUAAUCAAACUCUCAUUCUUCAACAUCUUCAAUCUCAUUUGUAAUUCUUUCUUCAACAUGAUUUGGUGUUCCCUCUUCCAACGUCAUCUGCAGAAACCUCUUUAACCUCAUUCAUUUGCAGGUCCCUCUCCCAUAUCAUUCGAUUCAUUCCCAAGGUCCUUCUUCCAUUUCAUUGCAUGGUCCCUUUCCUGUCAAUAUCAAUCUCAGGUCCCUCUUUAUCUAAAUCUAAACAGCCUUUGGCCAUUUAUAAAAUUGGGUAUGAGAGGUACACACUAUAGAGUCGGAGCGGAAGAACAGACUUGCCGGGUGUGUAUAUUAGGGGUAUUUCUGGAAAGUAGAGGAUAAUUUAUAAAUGCCGGGUCUAUUUAGUAAUUUGCUGGGUACAUUUAGCAGCACCCUUUUGUUAUAAGGAAAAAAAUCUUCAGAUUUAGGGCCAAUGAACAUUUUUUAUUAAAUUUACUUUGUUCACCCAUUUUACAUUGCGUAAAAUACAUUUUUCUCAAUUCGAUCUACUUUGUGUUGGAAAAUUCAAACCAAUCACACUAAUGACAAUAAUAAAAAUAAUCUGAAAGGUUUCUUGAGUUGGUGACUCUUGAUUUACACAAAGAAGGUGGAUAUUUUGGAGUCAUGGUGAAGGCACUGAACCAUGCAUCACAAGUUAAGAAGAUUCAUGAAGCAUCAUUUAUUCGAAGAACAUUAAUGAGUGAUCUAGAGAGUUUCUCUUUAGCCUAUAUAAGGAGAGGUGUCAAAUCCGAAGUAAACCAUGCGGGGUCCACCUCAACGGAAAUUUUAUCAAAAAAUUAGUAUAACCUUUUUUGAAAAUUGAUAACCUAACCUGCCAACCAACAAGAACACCUAUAUAAUCGAAAUAAUCUAACCCCAACAUUUGAAGCCACCCUACUCCUAAUUUCACAUCAACACUUAAAAUGCAACACAUCUAAACUAAUUUAAAACAAUCCCAAAGGACUAUCAGAGCAAUUCUACUAAGGAAAUGAAAACAUAGAUAAGAGAACUAGAGAAAGCUGUGUUAUUGACUAUGCCUCAACUCCGUGUACGCCCGACCUCUUCUAAGCUAACCUGUAAUCUGAACAUUUGAAACCGAAGGGCCUAGAGGAAAGUAUUUGAAAAACGUUAACGUGAGUGGACGAAAAAUAAAUAGGUAAAUGAACGUAAAUUAUGAAACCAAAACUUAAGUACUUUCCCACUUUCUGAUAAGCAAGAAAUCCAAUGCAUGCAAGUGUUAAUGAAACCUUCAUUGAGAAACGUCUACAGAAAACAGACUAGUCCCACUAGUCAAAACAACAACAAAUAUUCGUAAAGACCUUCGUAAAAUGAAAUAUCAAAAGAUGGACUAGCCCUGCUAGUCAAUAUAAUAACAAUAAAAUAAAAAAUAGAUACAGCCAUACAAGUGAGCCUCCCAGGAAAAAGUACUCCCAUACUCCCUACAGCUUCACGUAAUGAUAAUGGAGAGGGUGCAGAGCUUGCAUGAUGCCGCCGGCAACAUCACAUCACCACUAAGGCGGAAAGGGUUUGCGUGACUCCACUCGGAACGUGGGAGCCACAUCGUCUCGAAAGGCGGAACAACAUGCUAGCAUGAAUAAUAACGAUCCAACAACUGUGGCAUAAAAAAGGAAAAUUUAAAUCUAUGUGAGUUUUCCCGAAACUCAUAACUAAAACAUAAGUACGAUUCUCAACCGUACUCGGAAAAUUCCAAGAGAAAAGAAAUAAAUUAAAUUUGAUAACGUGUUCCACAUGCUAAAAUGCUCAAUGAAAUAACUAACUCAAAUAAUUCAAAAACUAGAGAAAACUCAAAUCCUUAAUGUAAUCUCAAAUCUGAAAAUCAUAAAGAAUUAUAUAACUGAAAUACCAAAUCACUUACCCAAGCUCAAAUCCAUAAAUCAUGACAAAGAUUAAUCCAUGCAUCAAACUCAAAUAAAUUCCAAGAUCAUUUUGUAAGCCAAAAUUAUAAUAUAAGCUCGGAAAAUAGAACGAUACUUUCAAAAAGAAAACAUGCAUGCAUAUCCAUUUAAAAACAAAGUGUCCACUCACAAAUUAGGGCCUAAGCCCAAUAAUAUCUGAAACGCUACUCGUGUGAGGUCUCCAAGUAUCCUAAUACCAUAAGCAUAUUUAGAACCACACUCCAAUUUCAGAAAAAUAAUUGCUUUAGUAUAACAACCCGAAAAUCUUUCGUCUAACCUAUUAUCCUAGCUAGGGUUAAGCUUAACGGAUUCAAGCCAAACUUCACCCAUAACUUCAUUUCAUUGAUUUAAAAUUCUAAAACAAAAAUAAAGGAAAUCCAACGGUAGGAUCUUCAAGAGUAACACACUGACAAAACCAAACUUCAAAAAUUCCCAAACUUCAACCAACUUCAACCCAAAAUUCACAAACUUAACAUCAAUGGACUCCUCUCAUCAUGCUCGACCUAAUCAGCUAGAAAAACAACCCAAGAGAGGUGGCGCCACCGUCUGCUCCGCGGGCAGCGGCGACCGGCCACGACCAAACUCCGACCACCUUUAAUGCCUACCAAAUUUUGACACAAUCUUCCUCUCAAUACACCCAACAACUUUCAUAACUAGGCCGAAGAUCAAUCUUAAGUCUAAACAUGUAAAUCGAACCAAAAACAGAAAAUCUCAAUUUCAAAACCCUAGAAUUUCAAACCUAUGAUUCUCCUUACCUAGCUCGAAGUGGAUCGAACCCUUUUGAGGGUUUACUAUCCGGGAUGAGACCUUCCAAAUGGGAUAAGAAGCUCCAGCUAUGGUGGCCGGAGGAGAGAUUUCCGGCGAAAGGAGAGACACGGCAUCUUGAUGGAAUUUCUCCAACACGACGGCGAGGGACGCCUAGCAACCUACCCAGAUCGGUUGUGGAGGAGGAGAGCUUUCUUUUGACACCAGGUUUGUAGCCUAAGCCCCCCAAAUGGCGACGGUUGAAGGUGGAGAAAGCGCCGGGUUGGGAACCGCACGUUGGAGAAGAGAGGAGUGAAAGUGAAAUUUCUGAUUUUCACUUUUGACUUUCCACCUUUGGCCCCUUUUAUACCUACGUUCCCGAAAUAGUAACUUUGGUUUUUAGACAAUAACUUCUUCAUACGAACUCCGUUUUCAGCGUGCCACAUGUCCACAAAGUCCGUUUUACAUCCUCUAUGACUUUCAUGAAGCAAGAUUUCUUAAAUUUAGAACGAAAGAAAAAGUCAACUUUUAGAGCUAUUAAAAUCUUGAAAACAAGGGUUAAAGUAAAAAUGAUGCUCAUUUACUUUCUAAGUGACGGUGAAUGGUCAACUAAGGUCCGGGGCGUAACGAUCUCCCCGCCUAUAAGAAUUUCGUCCUCGAAAUUUCAAACUGUGUUAGUAAGGAUAGAAUGUACACAUCUACAUGAUAUUCGGGAGUAACUAACACACUGACUUGACAAAGAGGUGACAGGUCAUACAAAAGCGUGUCAACUGAAAACAUACUUGAUACUCGCAUGAGGUUGCUCGAAAACUAAAGAGCAUGUAAGCAAAAAGCAAUGAACUAACACUUGCAAAAGAUUGAGUAACCACCCAUUGGUUACAUGAAGGAAUACUCCUCGGUAACGCAAUAAAGAAGUUUACUCUCAAAUCAAGAAAUAACAUUAAUCACAAGUGAGACCACAAGCUAAGAAAAUUCGUUCCUGCCUCAACAAAGUUCAACACAGAAAUGCAUCAACCGAAAAUCUUUGUCCUCAAACUUUUCUACCAUAAAAGUGAAAGUGAGGUCGCCGACAAUACCAAAAGACUGGAUCGGUAACAAUAUUCAAUUAGAAUCAGGGUCUCCAAAAUGUGAUUGAUUUCCGCCACCUUAACUAAAAAAACCCCGCUCAGCCUAAACAAUUAGUCCACCAACAACCAACAUUAAUAAAAGUUCACAACGAUGACCGAAUUUCUUUUAGUUCGAAACAACUUCACAACCACACCUACACCUGACGAUCACUCAGCAAUAGUUUAGCCUCAAAUCUCAAAAUAAAACUACGUAGCGAUUAAUAAUUAUUAUGUCUACAAAUAGUGUUCAAACACUUAGGUCCCACCACACGAACAAUGACACUAUCAUGCCAUGCGAGCAAAAAUUUGCAACAUCCCGAGAUACAAGUUCACUCCCGGUUUUGCUAUCACCAAUAAUCUCUCCAACACUAGUAAAUGACCGAGAGCAUGACUAUAUUGUGAAAACAAGAUACUCUUUCUUCUUGCAAGUCGUACUCCAAACAGAACUGAUUAAUAUCCAUAUGAUAAUGCUUUAAGCCUUCCUUCAAUAAUCAAAGUUGAAGCAAUCUUAUCAAUAACAUUGAGGCAAUGAAUGUUAGAACAUUCACAUAAUCGUGCUAGACUCACUGUCAAAAUCCUCAAAAGUAGAUUACCUCCUUGAACUAGGGAGGCAGUGGCAAAAAUUUGUACCCCGGGCACACUUCUUGACACGACCCACCCCGAAUUUCACCCUGAAACCCGGAGUAAGUCGUGCGGGGACCACCUCUAAGGAAAAUUUACUAAAAAGAUUGAUAAAAUCUCCCUUGAAAAUGGACAACCCUGACUCGAAAAUUCCAAAUUACACUCUUAAAACAACACGUCCAAACAUCACAUAAUUAACCUUCAGAAAUUUUAAACAUAAAAUACAAUAAUCCCAAAGUAUUCAGAGCUACUAGACACUAACGGAAGCAAGAAAACACAAGUAGGUUAAACAUGUAACCUAUUAAUGAAAACUGGCGGAAAUGCGGGUGACUAUGCCUCGCCUCCUACUAGAUCCAACCCGAACUCUGCAGACUGAGCAAUUUAAAACGAAGGGCCUAGGGAAAACAUUUAAAAACGUUAGAGUAAGUGGACAAAAACAAAAUAAUAAAUAAAAUAUUUAUGUUUCCCCAAAUUAAUUUCUAAGGAAAAAUCGAAUGCAUGCCGCAAGCGAUAAAACUUUUAUCUCAUAAAAUAUCGAGUCUCUCAGACUCUAUAAUAUAUGUAUGUAUUUACACUCGUCCAUACUCCCUAUAUAAAUUCAUGGGUCUAUAUAGGGCUACUACGCUCGCGUCCAACGCUCACGUCACGCCUUAAUGCAGUGCUACACUACGCCAUUAAGGUGGACAGACGGGUGUAUAAAUAUGUGUCCAUACCCCCUAUAUGAAUUAAACACUCAUAUAGGGCUUCUACGCUCACGUCCAACGCUCACGUCACACCAUAAUGCGGCUAUAUGCUACGCCAUUAAGGUGGACAGACACAUAUGGCUAGCUAGCAUUUUAUAUACAUACUCUCUCAUAAAUACAUAUUUAUAUCCACCGAAAAUCCCAUUUUCGGUAACUCUCCAAGAGAAAUAAAAUUCGUCAAAUUAAAAUGAUGUCAAAAUAUUCCGCAACAAUUAUUGUUCAACCAUGAACUCUAGCAUGCAUUUUAUUUAAAACAAAAGUCCACUCACUAAUUAGGCCUAAGCCUGAUGUCGAUCUGGGGCCUCGUCUGCUCGAGCCAAGGAUCGUCAGUUUUGGUGGCCGGAGGAGGGAGCUCCGGCGAGAAGACAAACGGCGUCCAAUGAGGAUUUCCUCCGAUCGGCGGGGCUGCAGCGCCGCUCACCAGCCCAGGAAGGCGGCGGGGAGGACGACAGACCGUGCUGGAGUGGUGCGGCGUCCCUGCUUGGCCGGACGACAGCGGCGAGCGGAGGUUUCCGGCGGAAGAAGAGAGAGAGCUCGGGAGUGGAAACCGGGAGGGAGAGAGAGAGGGAAAAAGAAAAGUGAGGGCUGGGUUUGGGCCUGUCCAACCCGGUCCAUCACCUAUAUACUACCCAAUUCUAAAAAUAAAACACCCCGAAAAAAAUAAUACCCGAAUAAAAAAAAUUACCUUUUACUAGCUAAAAUUUACCAUUUUUACCGCCAUCGUAUUUUCUCUCACGAAUAAUCCUCCGCACACAAUCGUCCCCGAAACCCCUCUAGGGACCAAUUAAACUAUUAACUGAAUGACGGAGAUGGUAAAAUUUUUAUUAUAAUCAAGCUAGUAAAUAAGGUAAAAAUAUAAGGGUCGGGAUGUGACACUUCUUAACCGGGUUUAGCCACAACAACCAUUCCAGUGGUUACAAUCACACGAGUCCCUCCAGCCAUCCCACGAGAAAAGUUUUUCAUGUCAAAAUGUCUGAGCUGCACGAACACACUUCUCUUUCUACCUCUAUUAAUUAUUAAUCUGACAACAUAAUACGAUCCGAAAAUCAUUUAUGGUCAAACUCUUGCCCACGCUUGGCGCUACGGCUCUAAAGCCCAAAAGUUUAUGACCAAUGAAUCGACAACUACGAUAAUACACCUGAGUUAACUACAUUGGUCGUCAAAAGUGGUGGCAUCCGUAAACAAGAUUUAAUGUUUACCACUACCGCACUGAGCGUGCGAAGAACACCAAAUUACCUAUUGGACGUCAACAUUAGUUUCCAUCUAAGAGCUACCACCACAAUCCAAGAUUUGCCAACACUACCGCAACCUAUGGUCAAGUAUAAGUCAAAACUCACAGCUAAUCUCGUCUCAAGCUUGAGAGGAAAUAACCGGAGUGCAUGAAGGAAGCAAAUCCACAACUUCAAGCUCAAAAGUUCUACAUAUCUCUGACAUUCAUUAAGGGCCCAUUUUGUAAACGUAUGUGAAACCAAAUGUCAAUAGAAUGGUUUCAACCAAUCACCCUAACACCAACGAAUGAACACGCAUCCAAAUAACGAUGACCUCCCAUAUCACACCUAGAUCAGUAAGUGGUCUCAACACGAUACGAUCUCCAUGCAAAAACUCCUUACAGUAGAGACGUCGUUCAAUGUAUUAGGUUAUAUACUAUCUAACAUGAACUUUGAACAGUCCUUCACUCUGAAGGGACCUUGACUCGAAACACUUCAUAAGUCAAUAGGGAAACCCUUUCCCCUAAGGCUACACCACAAAUCAAACACCACGUCACAUGUACAAUUUAUUCAACAUAUCCACGCGACUCAUAUACUACUAAACAGAACUUGCGGUUGAAUGGUUCGUCGCUUAAUGGGACUCCGAUUCAUUUAGUGUCACCACUCGAAUUAUCUAUGAUCCCUGAUUAUGACACAAUAACCAAUUUUUCAUUCUCCUCGAAAAUUUGACGAACUAAACUGAAUCUCUAAUCUUCAAACUAUAGUUCUCGCACUCCACCAUCUCAGAAUCUAAGGAUGAAAUGUUUCAGCUACCCAAAACUUAUAUAUCGCCAAAACACGUUACAUCUUAAACUCUAGUCAAAAUUACCCAGUUAGUAAGAUGGUGGGUAAGAGAUAAUGCACCUCGAUAAGUAAAGUUUAUCUCCAACUACGAAGGAAGUGAUGUUAGUAAACAAUCUUCGGUCACACAUUACACAUAACCUAAUAGUUUAGCAGACUUCAAUGAUUUUACAAAUGAAAUUGAUUUACUUGGAACCGGGAGUAGGUGGAGUUAAAGCUACCCUUCUGGGUUUGUGGAAGGCUCUGGGCCAGAUCCGAAUAGUUAGAGUCAAGAAGAAUGAUUAUGUGGUAACAGUGGGUUCAGAACAGUUGGCUGGAAAGUUGCUAGAGGAUAGUCCCUGGAAUGUGAAGGGGUAUUGCUUUUCGGUGAGGCACUGGCCUAAGUACCACUCUGUUGAUGAACUGGAUGUGAAUUGAGCUAUGUAUUGGAUACAAGCUCAUGGUCUUCCACAAGAGCAGAUGACGGUAAAUAAUGGCCGGAAGCUUGGCAACAUGUUGGGAUCAGUGAUCGAUGUUGAAGAUCUAGCUAUCACUGGAAAUAUGGGUUAUCUUCAUCUAAGGGUCGAUUUUGAUAUAAAAUGUCCUUUGGCUACCUUUGUGAGGCUUCCAAGGAGUGGUUCUUCAUACUCCAUGAUUAGGCUCUAAUAUGAAAACCUGAAGAUCUUUUGUUACAAAUGUGGAAGAUUAGGCCAUAUGAGCAUAGCCUGCAAUUAUCGUGUCAACCCGGCACUUCGAGAAUUGGGUAUUUCCAAUGAUCAAUCCCUAGUUGCAGAAGCUCCACAAAAACCAGCCUAUACACAGGGCCUUUUCCCACUGGAGUUUCCUUAUGCUCCGGCAACCAGAAUUUUUCACCGGAGUAGGAAGCAACAUGGAGCUAUGGUGAAUUCAAAUUCUGGGGAAGCAAGGCAGGGCGAUGGUGACCGGUCUCUGCAUGCAGCUGGUCUAGUUUUUUUAUGGAGAUGGCUCACUAAUCAAGUCUGGAGCCGUUUGUGAUGAGUCCCCAUCAAUAGUGAGAAUCCCCAAACCAAAGUAUAUAAGUAUGGGGGUUGAUUAUUGGAACCCAGAUGCAUAUGGUGUUAUGUAUCGAAACAGUAACCUUACUAGAGCGGUUGGUGGACUCAACUUAAAUGAGUGUUGGGCUGACCUAGAAUGUAUUCCCUCAUAGGCCUUUAAAAAGAAAGAAGACCUCUUUAUAGCAAACCACUCAUGGUCUUAAAUUAUCAGCUAGUAUUGGGAGAACAAGGGGGAGAGGUAGAGGUGGCAGAUCUGGUCAUGGAAGAGGAAGCAAAGGGAAGAGGGUCGAUGGAGAAUUACCUCUUCUCUGAGGGUAGGGGACUGCACUUGGUGAUGGUGCGCGUACUGAGUUUGUAUUGAGUGACAAUGAGAAGAAAGUUGGUACGAAGGACGUUACCCACCUUCGGGCCAAUGGCGGCUGGCCGAAAUCAGUUGCAAGUGAUCAAUGAAUUGUCUGCUGUGGAACUGUCAAGGUUUGGGAAGGUCCUUGAUAGUCCAAAAUUUAAGGGAGAUGAUUCACUCCCAAGACCCACUUUUUGUUUUUUUGGUCUGAAACACACCAAAGAAGUGAUUAUGUGAACAAGAUUUGUGAUGACCUGAAUUUUGAUACAAGUUUUAACAUUGAUCCAACGGAGUCAACAACCAGUGGUGGUGGAAAGGGAAUGUUAAAGUUGAGUUUGUGGACUAUUAUAAGUUUUUUAUAGACUCCUUAGUUGAGUUGCCAAAUUGUGACACCAAAGUUCGGAUCAGCUAGAUAUAUAGUCCACCAUAUGGUGAAGAUAAAGAUCUUUUCUGGAAUCACUGGAAUUUUCAAGCUAGGGGUGAUGGUAUUCUGUGGUUAUUUAUUGGUAAUCUUAACGAGUUACCCAGCCAAGAAGAGAAGGAAGGCGGUGUGGCUUGGUCUAUUGGACGAGGUCGUAUUCUCAGUAAUUUCAUCAACUCUAAUAAUCUGUUGGAUAUUGGUUUCAAGGGUCAGAAUUUUACUUGGGGGAGAAGGGAAGGGGGAAAAGUUGUACUGCAAGAAAGGAUUGACAAGGGUCUGAUUAGUGACGAUUGGAUCUUUUACUGGCCAGAAACUACAAUUACUCAUUUGACUCUAUUGGGGUUAGAUCAUACCCCUCUCUGGCUACAAAUUGAUCUGAUUUUGAAGAACGGUAAGGCCUCUUUCAAGUUUCUAUCUUAUUGAACCGAGGAUGCGGAUGUGUACCCACUGAUUGAGGAGUGCUGGAACCAACCGGACUUGGGCUCAAACUUGUCCAAGUGGACCUCUAAACUCGCUAAAAGUCAGAAUCGACUAUCUAACUGGAGUAGGAGUAAGUUCCGAAGAUGUAACAAAGAGGAGAUCAAACAGUAUCUAGUGGAUUUGGAUGACUUGUAGACAAAUCAACCGUUUAAGAGUACUGAGCUACAAACUGAGUUAGAGGCCAAGCUGAGCUCUCUUUGGAUCAGAGAGGAGAAAAUCUGGCACCAAAAGUCGAGAAUUAAAUGGCUUCAGGUUAGGGAUUCUAAUUCCCGUUUUUUUUCAUCUCACUUCUCUUUAAAGAAGGUAAUGAAACCGUAUUCUUCAUAUCAAAGAUAGGAGGGGUCUCUGGGUGGAUGGAGAGAGCAGAAUUAGAAGGGAGUUUGAAGCUCAAUUCAACGAUGUUUUUACUAGCGGUGGACCUCGUGAUUGGGGACAAGUGUUUAUGGGGGUCAGCCCUAUUGUUUCUGAGGAUAUGAACUCAUUUCUAUUGACUCCGGUUACUCUUGCGAAGGUAAAGGAAGCUUCUAAUCAGUUAGUGGCUUUGAAGGCACCAGGACCGGAUGGAUUUCCUGGUCUUUUCUAUCAAAAGUAUUGGAAUAUUGUGAAGUCGAUUAUCAUGGGUACGGCAACAGAUUUCUUGGAUGGAAGAGUGAAUUUACAGAACUUGAAUAGGACUCAUAUUGUCAUUAUCCCUAAGGUUCCUUACCCAGAAACUACUUCCGAAUUCCUGCCGAUAAGUUUAUGCAACAAUUCGUACAAAAUCCUAUUGAAGUUGCUUGCAAACAUAUUAAAGGUUUGUUUGCCGGACUUAAUAUCUCCCAAUCAGAAUGCUUUUUUCCCUAACCGGCUUAUCCAAGACAAUAUUCUUUUGGUUCACGAGGCGUAUCACUACCUCAAGUUGAAAAGAGAUAGGGGAAAUAAUGAAUUGGCUCUCAAGUUGGAUAUGAAGGCCUAUGACCAGGUGGAGUGGGAUUUUCUUGAGACUGCUCUCCUAAGAUUUGGCUUUGCAAGAGAAUGGGUUACUUUGAUCAUGGCUUGCGUCAUGUCGGUCACUUUCUCUAUUGUCCUAAAUAGGAAACCUGGGAAUUUCUUCCAGCCUAGUAGGGAUUUGAGAUAGGGGACCCCCUCUCUCCCUAUCUAUUCCUAAACAUAAGUGAAUCUCUCUCCCUCCGUAUGACUAGAGCUGUAUCAGAUGGCACAGUAAAGGGAAUUCAGUUAUGUCAGGGAUGCCUUACAUUGUUGCACCUAUUCUUCGCAGAUGAUGCACUCUUUUUCAUGAAGGCAACCCUAGCGAAUGUAUGGCAGCUUGACCUCAUUUUUAAAGAGUAUUGUACGGCAUCGAGACAACUGAUUAAUGACGGUAAAUCUAGCAUCUUUUUCACCCCUAAUACUCCUAUUCAAAUGAGCCUUAUGUGUGAAUUACUGGGUUUUUUGGGAGUAUUAAAUCCAGGAAGUUAUUUGGGCCUCCCAACUGUGUGGGGAAGAUCUAAGAAGGAGGCACUUGAUUAUCUCUUUGAUCGGUUAAAACAGAAGCUAGAUGGCUGGAAACAAAAGUCCUUAUCGUUGGCAGGCAAAGAAAUUCUCAUCAAAUCUGUGGAUUUAGCUAUUCCGGCCUUCCCUAUGUCUUGUUUCAAGCUGCCGAUGUCUAUUUGUGAUGAGAUUAAUUCAGUUAUGGGAAAUUUCUGGUGGGGCUACACUGAAAAAGGAAAUAAAAUCCAUUGGAGGAGUUGGGAUUACAUUAGCAAGCCAAAGUUGGAGGGACGAAUGGGCAUCAGGGAUCUACAUCAUUUUAACAUGGCCUUACUCGCUAAACAAUGUUGGCAGCUUGUACAUGAUCCUAAUUCAGUAUGGGCAAAGAUUCUCAAAGCGAGAUACUUUCUGAAUUGUGAUUUCUUUGAAGCCGUUAAGGGGCACCAUGCUUCAUGGAGCUGGCGUGGUCUAGCCUACUUGAGGCUAGAGAUUUAUUGCUAGGUGGAGGUAUUUGGCAGGUGGGAAAUGAGAGAUUAAUAAACCCGUGGCAAGAUAAUUGGCUUCCUAUGUCACACCUUGGAAAGCUGGAAGAGAGUCGGAUAGAUGACGUUUCCAAUCUCAUCAUCACAAGUGUGCAUCAACUCAUUGAUUGGGAUAGAAGGCAGUGGGAUAUGAGCAGAAUAUUCAGCCUAGAGACAUUGCAGUCAUUCUUUCCAUUCGAGUGGGGGAUUAUGAGAGUUAGGACCGUUUCAUAUGGCCAGGUAACAAGGAUGGAGACUACUCAGUAAAGGGAGGGUAUCAUUGGGUUCAUGGUAAGCAUCAAAGGACUAUUUCGAGGAUUGGUCCAUCAUGGACUACUCUAGCUGGAUAUGGAAGAAGUUGUGGAAUUGUAAGACUCUAGCUAAGAUCAGGUUGUUCCUAUGGAGGGUACUGAACAAUGCAAGACCGGUCUUCUCUAAUCUAUAUCAAAGGAAACUCACUACCUCACCUACUUGCUUAUUAUCUGGUCAAGGUGAUGAGACUUUUGAACAUACGCUUCAGUUUUGUCCAUGGACUGAGAUGGUGUGGUUGGGUCUCUUUGGACUCAAAAUUGAUAAAUAGGCAAUUACUACUUUUGUUACUUGGUUGGAUGGUAUAAUUACACACACAACGGAUAGAUUACAAGUUCAGUGGAUGCUAACCUUGAUCAGCUUCUUCUGUUGGAGUAUUUGGAAGGCGUGAUGUUCGCUAUUGUAUUAGGGUAGGCCUCUCGAUCCUAAACACACGAUAUCUUCUGCUUUGAAGCUGGCGGCAGAGUUUAUGGAAACGGUGGAUUUGAAAUCAGCUACUUCCCUUCAUCCUAGCACUUAACUACAAUCAAACAAACAGUGGUUAGCUCCACCACUAAACACUUAUAAAGUGAACUGUGAUGCAACUUGGUCAGUACCUUCGAAUGCAAUGGUAAGAGUGGUGAUUAGAAACGUAGAUGGUGAAUGGAUUGUAGGUGAAGCCGCUGCCAUCUCGUGUAAUUCAGUAGUGGAAUCAGAAGCUGAAGCUCUUCUUCAAGGGGUCAAUUGCGCUCUUGCAAUGAACCUGAAUCAAGUCAUAUUCGAAUUAGAUUCCUUGGAAGGUAUCAAUGAACUGAGAAGCAAGAAAAAGAGAACUGGGCAAUGGAGUAUUAUGAGCCCUUCUAAUGAGGACUCCUAAGUUGAGGAUUAGUUGAAGACUUUUCGGUUUAUGGUCUAAAAGACCCAUUUUUCAAUCACAUUUUGACAUCUCAUCCGUUCAGUUUUUAGGUGUAUAUGAGUAGAUCAUUUCUACAAAUUUUCAGCCAAAUUGGUAUUCGUUAAGAUAACAAACUAGAUCAAAUUAAUGGACGAACCAAAUCUAUCAAAUAUGAACCGUUCAAGUUCAUAAUUGAUAAAUCACACUUAGGAAUGUCUUAACAAUUUUCAAUAUAGCUGAAAAUUUAGAGAAAUAAUCUACUUAUAAAUACCUAUAAACUAAAUGGUCAAAAUGUGGAUAUAAGAUCGAAAGAUGGGAUAAGCCACUUAAGGGUCUUCACUAAAAGGGCUCCCACGGAGUAUUGACCAGAUUAUUGAACAAAUCCGGCGUCGGAGUUCGGGUUUCGAGAAUUGCAAGUGAAGCUGGGCUCCAAGAUAAGCUAAUUGCGCAGCUCAUGCUGCUGCAACGCUAGCCAAAGAGGCAGUGGGUCCUUUGAGAUGGGCUUCGCAGCCACCACUGGCCUUGUUUUCAAUCCUACGAAACGACGGAUUACCGGCACCCCUGGCGGGAGCUGAUCCUCCUUGUUUCUGUGGUUUUUUUAGGUACAGUUUCUUCGUUCCUAUUUCUGGGGAUUUAGGGGAGAACUGAUUCCCUUUCUCGUUUAUGACUGUUUUUAUGCUUUGGGCUUUAGCUCUGCUGCUGGGCCUCAUUAUUAGGCAACGUCGCUAAUGAAAUUUCUAUUCACCAAAAAAAAAAAGGUCUGUGUAUUUUAGUACUUUUUUUUGUGUCCAUUGUUGCCAUGUAUUGCAGCAAAAGAAAAUGUAAAAGUAAAUAUAGCAAAAAAUAGUACGUAAAACAAAAAUUUAUUGAAUCAAAAACCUUGGAGUCAGGGUUCUUAUGCAAGCCUUUUGCAAAAUAACCCGUGAACUUGAAAAAAGGACACAAAGCUAAGCCACUCCCGUGAAUAUAUGUCGGUACAAAGCUACAAAUGACAUCAAAUUUGGAUCUUGUACUAUUGCUAGUCCAUCAUUUAACAGUUAUAACGAUUAACACAAAGCUUUGUCACAACCCAAGUCAUCCAAGCAUAAUUUUAGAAUAGUAAUAGUUUACGUACUAGUUAAAUACUAGGGCCAUUGACCAAAAGAGUCAUGGGAUCUGGGAAAUGAUCGCAGCAAACAGAGGAGAUUUAGGUGCAUUGCUCACGGGCAACACCGAGCCUUGAGUUGGGCACAUCAAUGAGCACCCUGUGAUUCUGCUGCUGCAUGUUGGCGAUCACAUUCAGAACCGAGUUCACAUUGUCUGGCGCCGCUGCCAUGGCCAAACAUGUUGUGCUACCUGCCGUGCUCCGGAUCACUACGUUGUCGGCCGGCAGCGUCACGUUCAUGCCCGUGAACAUGAAAGUGAUCGUGGGCACGACAAUCGGGGCAGUGUAGCACGUGUCGAAUCCGCCGAGGGUCGUCACCAGUAGCUUGCGGCCGACUCUUCGGCGGAACUCGUUGCGGACUGCCUCGUAGGCGGGUGUCACUAGCCGAGUGAAAACAGUGCCUAAAACAAAACAAAAUCAAACUCUCAUCGUGAGUGUUAUGAAUGCAAACGAUCCAAGGACUCGAAUCAAUUAUAACAACAACAAUGUAUAAUUUUCAAAAACUUUUCACUAAUUAUCAAAGAUUAUUAAAUAUUAGAUCUCAUAACUAUCCAAUCAAGAGGCAAGAGUCAUGAUAAUUAUGAGUUUGGGGAAUUUUUGUUUUUAGGGUAAAAACCAAAUCCAAAGUCUAAUAGCUAGCUAGGUCCUUUAGCUAAAUCAUUACAUGUCUAGUCACAUGUCAUAGCAAACGUACAUGUGGUUGGUAUAGACAGUAAGAUCAACAAGGAUCCAAGAAUCAUUAUAAUCAAAAACAUUCUUUUUAAUCAAAAAAACAAAACUAGUGAUUAGAUUUCAGAAAGUGUUUGAUAAUAAUUACCAGAAUCAAUGACUGUCCCUGCACCAGUAGUGGGAUUGAAAGCCAAAGCAGAUGGGGGGAUAUCAACAAUUCUCCUUCCAACCCUAAUUGCAUUUAGGUUGACAUAAUAGAGUGAUGCCCUCCUAGGGUUCUUAAGCAAUGGGGUGUACUUGAUCUUAAUGGGUUGCCCAACAGUUCCAAGCCUCAGUGACCCAGAGAAGUUGAGUGACUUGUAGCCAGGGAGGCAGUAUGAGAACGUGGAUUUGUAGAGGUUUUGGGUCUGGGAUAGAAGCGACAACGGCCCUCGGCCAAGACCCAGAAGACCCUGCGGCGGCACUGAGCUGCCGGUGGUCUUCUGGAUGCAACCGAAGGUGUAGGCAGGCACGACAUCGUUGGCUAGGGUGAAGGUAUCUGUUGAUAGGUUUGAUGCUAUGCUGGAACCUCCAUAUGUCAUAUUGAAGCUGCAGGUGCUUCCAAGGCAGCUGGGGUUGGGUGCCUGAAAAUCCACAUGCCAUGAUGGUAAAUCAUUUUUUACCAUUCUAGUAAAGUACUCCAUAAACAUUAUUACGUAGCAAAAAUAAGUGUGUCCAUUAUUGACACCAUUACUUUAUUGUUAAUCAAAUCAAAGAUUAGCCUACUUUAAGAGAUUUGAUUAUUAUUAUUAGAGCAUCAUUUUCCAUGUUGGUAAAGUGCUCACAUAAUCAUGUACCAAAUAAAGAGUGGUCACGUUCUUCACCUUUGUAGUUAAGAAAGAAAGAGGGGAUCUGCUUAGAUCUUUUUCAUCACUGAUUAAAACAUAUGAAACUGAAAAGAUGAAAAUGAAGAACACUGGUAAAAUACCUGCUUGCACUGAGGAGCUCCACAGCCAACAGACUUGAAGGUGGUGGAUUUGAGAGAGUUAAAGACAUUGGAAGAGCAGCCGACGCAGCCAUUGCAAGGAACCCAAGCAGCAUCACUGCUGGUGUCGACAGCCAUGAGCAGAGUCUGAGGAGGAGUUCCAAUCUUGGCCCUCACAAUGUAGGUGGGGCUCUGAAUGAUUUGUCGUCCCGACGCAAUGGGGACGAUAGACUUCUUAGCCCCGGCGAGGCUGGCCAAGAACUGGAGCCUGGCCUGGUCCUUGGCCAGCGUUUGGAGCACGUCCUCCUCCCAUGAGAGUGUCUGUGCGGGUCUG
This 54769-nucleotide long non-coding RNA is filed under the name Fragaria vesca (wild strawberry). RNAcentral's name for it is "long non-coding RNA (FVES_LNC003691)". The record is from RNAcentral. Lineage: Eukaryota; Viridiplantae; Streptophyta; Magnoliopsida; Rosales; Rosaceae.